RNAcentral lists this long non-coding RNA (61976 nucleotides) under Manihot esculenta (cassava). Its description in RNAcentral is "long non-coding RNA (MESC_LNC001916)". Lineage: Eukaryota; Viridiplantae; Streptophyta; Magnoliopsida; Malpighiales; Euphorbiaceae. The record is from RNAcentral.
CCCUUCGCCAUCACUUCAGCACCAGAGCAACGAGAGCGAGCCGCAAGCUUGGUGCUGCAGAAGAAGUGCUCUUCUUGAGAAUCCAUUUCUCAGAAGAAUAGCUUCCUUCUGCGGAAUAUCACCUUCAUAUAUAUAUAUAUAUCUGAGCAAUAAAAAAUGGCUCGCUCUCCCGCCAACGCUAAGCUUCUCGUCGAUGGUCUUUCCCUUUCUGUCUUCCGGUGAGAAUACAACUCCUCUUGCUCUUCUCUUUUCUGGGUUUUUCAUAUUCUUGAUACAUAUAUCUAGACUGUGUUCUCUUCUAUAAUAAAACGAAGGAAAAUCAAGGUUCUUGCAAUUUUCUGGUCCUUUUAUCCUCGAGAAACUGUGGUUUCUUUGUUGCAUGAUUAAGAAAGAAAAGGGUAGGUGUAUUUUGAAUUGAUUGAUUUCUUCUAUUAAUUUACGUGAUUUGUUGAUAUUAAGUGAAUAUUAAUGUGAACAGGAGGUGCUAUGCGGCUGCGCCACAAGGGGCAGUGCUCGGUAGGGAAGGGUCAAGAAGUGGUACGAUGAGGAAAGUGGAAGAAAGGGGUGCGAUUAAAGAAGAUUCAGGGGCGUCAUCUGCAUGGGCUCCAGAUCCCAUCACAGGGUACUACAGGCCAGCAAAUUGUGGUGCUGAGAUCGACCCAGCUGAGCUUCGAGAAAUGUUAUUGAACCACAGGGUUAGGCCACAGUAGAACGAGAAGAACUGGCGGCUGCCCACAAGGUUAUGGUCUGUGGUGGUGUUCACUCUCGUCCCUUUUGGGCAGCUUAUAACUUAAUAGUUUGUUUUGGCUUUUUUUGUUAUGAUGAUCUUCCAUGAGGAGUAGUAUUAGAAAUAUAUCCAACUUCCUAGCUAGCUCUUUUUAUGGGCUCUUGCAUUUGGAGCUUUCAGUUUUAUUUACAAUAUUAUCUUGCUGCUUCGCUUGAGAAAUUUUGAGUUUAAAAUUUUAAUUGAUUUUUUUAAUAAUAAUAAAUUUAAUCAUUCAUUCUAGAACAUGCAAUUUAUAUCUGAUUGAGAAGAUGAGAUAAAAGAGGGAAUACCGUAAAUUAAGUAAACAACCAACUUAUUGUGGCCAAGUUCCCAUCCACCAAAGCAUGGGCUUAAAGUUAAGUUUAAAGGACUGAUUAGCCAGCCCAUUAAGUCAUGUGGUCUCCAUUAAAUUGAGAGUGACCAUAAAAGGGCCCGCUUUAUUUACUAUCGAUUCAUAUUUUGUCUGAAUUCAAAAGAGGUUUAUUAAAAAUAAAAUAAACUUUCAUCCCAAUUCUCUGCUCCUGGUUCCGUCUUUCUAUGUUCACAACCUUCUGAUCUCGGGAAACACCCAAUUUGGAAUCAAAACUUGAACUAUAGGAGACUUGAAAAGAUUGAGAAAAGAAGAAAGAGGAAUGUCAUAUUCCACAAUAAGCUCUAGCAAGAGGUGUCAGAUAGCUUUAUAUAUCAAUUUCGGUGAAAGGGAAGGAAGAAAGAUCAUCUUGAUGACCAAAUUUUCACUUGGUACAAACCACAUACACAUGCUGCUCACACUUCUGUGAUCCUUUUGGCUGUUGGCUUGAUAGUAAAACUACAAUGGACAUGAACCCAAAAUAUUGCACGUACAACUGAAUUUUACCAUAUGGCAUAAACCUCUUUCUUUAACCCUUCACAAUAUCCAAAGUCUAAUAGAGUAGCUUUGCAUGUGAAGAGGGUACCCUCAAGCUUAUGAAAAAUCUAACUAAAAGAAGUACAAGUUUUAAGGGCCCACUCUAGUAUUCAUGUCUGCUCCAACAUCAGUGUCCCUUAAGGCAGCCUUUUUGGCUUGUCUUUUUGCUCAAUUUGAUUGAAAGCCCUCCCCUUGCCACCUUUGCCCUUUCCUUUCCAUGAUGUUUCAGAUUUUCUUUUCUUCCUUGGCUGUGAAUUUCUUGACCUAUCACUAUAAUUUCUUUGCUUAUAUGCUACAUGACUAAAACAUGAUUAAACAUCCACCUUGAUUCAUUCGAAAUUAAAAUAAGUUGUGUGUAUAGUUAGGGUAAGAUUUCUAAUUGUUAAGAUUUGAACUCUCAACAUUAAAUUGACAACUAAUUAAUCUAAACCAUACUUAUAAUUCACCUCUAUCUGUAUACUUGUUGAUGACCGCUGGAUUUCUUCACCCCAGAACAGGGGGGUGACCGCAGCCAAAGGCCCAUGAUACAGAGGNNNNNNNNNNNNNNNNNNNNNNNNNNNNNNNNNNNNNNNNNNNNNNNNNNNNNNNNNNNNNNNNNNNNNNNNNNNNNNNNNNNNNNNNNNNNNNNNNNNNNNNNNNNNNNNNNNNNNNNNNNNNNNNNNNNNNNNNNNNNNNNNNNNNNNNNNNNNNNNNNNNNNNNNNNNNNNNNNNNNNNNNNNNNNNNNNNNNNNNNNNNNNNNNNNNNNNNNNNNNNNNNNNNNNNNNNNNNNNNNNNNNNNNNNNNNNNNNNNNNNNNNNNNNNNNNNNNNNNNNNNNNNNNNNNNNNNNNNNNNNNNNNNNNNNNNNNNNNNNNNNNNNNNNNNNNNNNNNNNNNNNNNNNNNNNNNNNNNNNNNNNNNNNNNNNNNNNNNNNNNNNNNNNNNNNNNNNNNNNNNNNNNNNNNNNNNNNNNNNNNNNNNNNNNNNNNNNNNNNNNNNNNNNNNNNNNNNNNNNNNNNNNNNNNNNNNNNNNNNNNNNNNNNNNNNNNNNNNNNNNNNNNNNNNNNNNNNNNNNNNNNNNNNNNNNNNNNNNNNNNNNNNNNNNNNNNNNNNNNNNNNNNNNNNNNNNNNNNNNNNNNNNNNNNNNNNNNNNNNNNNNNNNNNNNNNNNNNNNNNNNNNNNNNNNNNNNNNNNNNNNNNNNNNNNNNNNNNNNNNNNNNNNNNNNNNNNNNNNNNNNNNNNNNNNNNNNNNNNNNUAACAGGCAGCUGAUACCCUAGUACACCCGAAUCUGUAUGGCAGAGACGCGUGGCCCAAUCCUGGAGAGACCUUUACACGUCACCAGCAAGCAAGACAAUGUAUAAAAGAGGAGUCCCCUCCUCAGAAUGAAAAAGCUUUAUUAUUCAAUACAAGAACCCUAUUCUAUUGGAUCUCAGAUCAUCACUUGUCAUUCAGCAAGUAAAUAAUGGAUAAAUAUUUUGAUAGUAUGGAAUGAUUCUUCUAUUUGCAGAGCAACUCAAUCCCUUCUUAGAUCUAAAUUUCUUUUUAUAUAUUUCUAUACCUAUAAGGUUUAUUAAUUUAAAUUUAAAUAGAAAAUAACGUUCAGUAAUUAGGUGAACAUACUUAGAAUAUGAAAACAAUUUGCUAAGAUCGAAUUUGUAGGGAUUCUGUUUUUUAAGAAUUCCACUUUCACUAAUACUACUAUUCACAUAGAAGAAGAGGAAGAAAAAGGAAUCAAUAAAUUAAUGGUAGAGGCUGGCGACAACAAGGUAACGGUAGGCAAAAAUAGGAUGAUGGAGCUUCCGGUGUGUCCAUUACCACCAGACAUGUGUGCCCAUGUGAGGAUCCUAAUCCUUGCUAUAUAAAAAUAGAAAUAUUUAUUAAAUUCUUUGUCUCAGUUUCAGAUACAAAAUACAAAAUAAUUAAAAAGAGAAUAAAGAAUACAAAUUAAUUCCACACUCAACUCCCUCUGCAACUUUUUCUUCUCCUUCUCCAACUAGUCCACAGUCCACAUUCAUCUGGGUUUCUUGCGGAUAGUCUUAGAGAAAAUUUUGCAACUAUGAACAUCAAAUUUCAGAGUAAGAAAAAUUAAGUACCAAGGUAAGAGAGUAAUAGUAAUAAUAAUAAACACACAAGUUAAGAAAUAUGAUCAAAUGUACUAGUGUAUUAUAGCACAAAUGGCCCUUCAUUCUUCACUCCUUCUAGCCUCUCACGGACAACAAUGAAGGAAUGGCACUUAAGUUUGGAGCGUUGUUCUUAUUGGAAGCUUCUCUGAUGAUGUCUCUCUUGCCGUCUUUUGAAGGAGGCUUCGCUAAAGAUCUCUUUGGACUAGCGAAAGCCAAACCCCAGUUUCUGCUGCUUCCAUUAGCAGGAGGCCCAGCUGCAAACACAGGUGUUUGUUUCCCAUUGAUUUCUUCUGCUGAAGAUGAAACCCAAUGAGAUGAUGAUGAUGAAGAAUAUGAAGAUGAGGGAGUGAUCAUGAACCCACCAAAGAUGCCGCCACAUUUCGCUCUUUCUUUCAUGUUAGAGGUGGCUGCAGCAGGGAUCUUUAGCUUGCCUUCUCUCUGUGACUCUACUCUCCUAAGAGUGCAAUCUCCAAACCCAGUUGAGAUUCUCUCGAAGAAGUCACCAGAGAAGCUCCUGCUUCCACAUCCUACAGAUCUGGACCUUGAAACCUUCCUCUCAAAAGAUGAAGCAGAGGCAGUGGCUUGGCUAUUACGACAAUCAUCAUUUUCUACUUCCACGCUGCCUCCGUUACUGGACAAUGAAGAAACCAAGAACUUUUUCUUGGGCAUCACCAUAGACCCAUUAGUCGUCGUCGUCGUCGUCGUUGUUGUUACUGUCAAUGAUGACACCUUAUCUGUUUUCUUGGUAGUACUAGACUUGGAGGAAGAGUGAUAGAGAAAUGACCAGAAACCACCUCUUCUUCCUGGGCUAAAAUCCUCGCCAUCAUCAGUAGAAGCAUCCAACCAAAAAUGCUUUCUUCCAGGAGUCGUAGUAGAUUUGCUUCUCUUGAAAACAAUAUCACGAUCUGAUGAUGAUGAUUCGACCAUUAUUUUUUUCUUCUUUUUAGCCAAAAGAAAAGGGAUCCCGGCCCUCCUCGUGUAGUAUUCUUGAUAUUGGCUAUUAUUUCCACCAUCAUUUCUACCUUUUGAAGAUAUAGGACGCGCAGCAAGUGAAAGUGAAGAAGCACCACCACCACCACCACCGAUAUCAGAUCUAAAAGAAGAAGAAGAGGAGGAAGAAGAAAAAGAGGCACGAAUAGGUAAAGGAAGAGAGGAAGAAACCAACUUGCCAAGCUUUUCUUGAAGGCAAAAAGCACAGAUCCCACCUGGGUUGUUUCUAUAAGGAUGUUCACUGCAUUGCAUACCAUCACCUACGUAUUCACCAACACCAACGUUACCACCUCCACCAUCAACACCUCCUUUGAUUAUUCCAUCCAUCAUCAUCUGAAUCAACUGUUCUUGCAAUAGUAAUAGCUGAAUAGGCUUUCACUAGAAUUUUCGUUUCUUGAGUUGGAGAGAGAUGGGAGGAGGGAGAGAUGCAAACAAAAGAAAGAGCACAAAUGGUCAGGCAGUGUAGAAAAAAAAUUAAAUAUUAAAUAUGAAAUUAUAGAAAAAUAACCGAAGGGUAAAUAUAUAAAAAAUAAAUAAUUGAAAUAAAUCUGAGGGGAGCACGUGGAAUCUUGACUUGGAGUUUCUAACAAGGUUGGAAACAAAACAAGCAAUGAGCGGAGCCAAAAACCCUAAUACAUCCGAGGACCCCCUCAUAAACAAGAACCUCAGGCUCCAAGCCAAAAGACCCCUCCCUCUAUGUAAUUAUCAAUGCUAAGCUUAAUUGAAAUCAAAAGCUUAAUUGAAAUCAAACUGAAACUGGUAAUUUACUGCAGUGAAACCCACACUAGGGCUAAUUGAUUGCUAAAUUCAAGAACCCACAACCACAAUCUAGCUCUCUUUAAUUGUGCUGGCCAUUUUAGGCUGCCCAGAUAAAUUUCUCUUGUGUCUUAAAUAUUAAGAAGAAAAUAUAAAUGGGUAAUUGUAGAAACCUUUGGAUCUUACCCUGUGGGUUUAUGCUUGAGCUUACCAUAUUCAACUUUAGAUUCCAGAUUGCACAUGGAGAUCUUCACACAUUUUUGUCUCAUCUAAGGCCUCUGAGUCAUGAAUCUCAAGCGAGAGCUAGUCCAACCAUGUACCCAGAGCAUUUUCGUUGGAGUUCUUUUGUUAUUUAGUACGAAGGUGGUGGGCUUGUGGUACAGACAAGACCAUUUAGACAUGGCUGUGAUUCCAUUUUACUUGGGAUUAAUUAAAUUUAAUCCGGAUUAGUUUAGCUAAAAUGGAUCUUAGAUUAAAUUGACUUUGUGUAUAUGGAUGGACCAAUAAGAUAGUGAAGAGUCCCUAUAUCUUGUUGAUUGUCUAUUUGUGUAUAUUGUCCCUCUCUGCAUCAGAUUAGACCACUCAACCAUAAAACCUUAGCCACUAAUUUUUUUACUUUUUUUAAUCAAAAUUAGUAUGAUGAAAUCCAAAAAGCUUUGAACCCCCAAUAAUUUCCUACACAAAUGGGCCAAGAAAAUAUAAGCAUCGUUCAUACUAAAACAGUAUAUAUAGAAUAAUUUUUUAAAAAAAAUAAAAAAUUAAUACAUUUUAAAAAAUUGGUUUCAUGAGCGAAAUAGGUAUUUAUGGAUUGAAAGGAGACAAGACAGAGAGGCAUUAUGGAUAUUUAAGACAAUAGAUGGCAUUAGGGCACAAAGUGCACCAUCUCAUUAAUUAAAUGGCAGCUUAAAUUAGGGCAACUUUCAAGCAAUAAUUUGUUUAUUUCCGUGCACUGAUCAUGGACAGCUUACCCUUGAAAUACUGGAUAAUGACAAUUGACAAUCCAAGACAACCAGCUUUCUUUCUUUCUUUUAGACAAUUGAAGAAAUAACUUAUUUUAAAAAUAUAGAUUAUGUUUUUUUAUAAUAAUAAUAAUAAUGAAGAAGAUAAAACAUGUGAGAUGGAGUAGCAUGCAAUUUCUGUUCUUCAUUCCUGAUAAUAUCAACAUGGAGGGAGGGGACAUCAUCAUCAUGACUUUAUGAGUUUUACUUCUUACCUAAUUAAUAAUAUGACCAUCAUUUGUAUUUGGAUUUGGAUUCAAAUCAAAUUGGAAUUUUAAUGAUUUAGAAUCCAACUUUUUUUGAAAAAAAAAAAACCAUAAUUUGAUUAAUCCAAUUUGACCAUAUAAAAUCGAAUUUUCUAAUUGAAAAAAAACCUUAUAGUAUUCAUGGGCCAAAAUUGCUGGUUUCAGCCCAGACCGGCUUGUGGCUGUGGGCCAAAACAUCAUAAUGGGCAAGGCAGAGUGUUAAGGAAACGGUCUGUGUCUCCUUCUUAUGGGCCUUGGACUCAUGUUCUGUGCUUUCAUGUCCUAAUACAGCAAGAGAGAUAGAUCAAAUGGGUGGUGUAAAAUUGUAGUGGAAAGCAGUAUAAAUAAUCAACUGAAAAUGGUGAAAUUUCAACUUGGGAUAUCAUCCAGGAAGGCCUUUCCCAUGAUAGUGAACAAAUUUGAUCAGCCAGAAAUUAAAGAUAAACUUCACCUUCUGCUAACUAGAAAGAAACAAUUCAGACAUGCCAUUGAUGCAUAUUUCAUGUUCUCUUCAAUAACGUCUUCCCCAGGCCUAUACUCAUUUGGUGGAAAAGAUAAAAAGAAAUGAAAGAUGAGUUCUGAUAGCUUUUUCCUCUUCCUUAAUUAUUAAUUUCAUGGGAUUGUUGGGAUGAAGAUGAUGAGAUAAGGGUCUGAUAUUGCCACCCUUCUUCCAGCCCAUCAGAAAUGUUACUGCCAUUCCUGUAAAUUGCAUAGAGCACUAGCUGUGCUGCCCCAAGUAAAAAUCCAGCUCCAUUUGGUACCUACACAUACACCACAACAAUGCAUGAAAUUUUCACUUUAAAUAUUUUAUAAAUUUAUUUAUCAAGCUUUCUUUCUAAAUUAAGUGAUAUUUUGAGUGGUCCGUUAAUAAUUUUUCAGUCCCAAUCCACUUAAGGCCAGGUGUUUGGCAGUAGCGAUUGGCAGCCAAGAUUACUAUCAGCGUCCCGUAGCAAAAAUAGCCACGUUUCCAUUUCCUUACAAUGAUUAAUUCAUCUCAACUAAUAGUCAACCAUUGUAUCCAAAGCUUAGCGUUGGGUUAACAAAUUAGAGAGUUAGCUAAUAAAAUUGCACCUCCAUGAUCCCUUUGCUGAGAGAAACUCACUUACCCCAAGAAAAUAAUCACUUGUGAGAAAAGCAUACAAGCUCCAAAUCCCUCCAUUCAAGAAAAGGAAGAAGGAGAGCAGGAACGGCAUGUACUCCACACUCUUACUGCUAAUCACUGUUUUCUGUAAAGACAGACGUACGUUUGUGUUAGAAAGACAACCUCCAUCACAUGAAUCAAUGGUUUCUGAUCAUGAUUGUGUCCAGGACAAUAAAUUAUUUGAUUGUAAGGACCCCAAGAAUCAUGCUUCCACUUGUCCGAGAAUGAUCUUGUCUAGGUUUAAUGAAAGAUUUUUAACCUUUACAAAGAUCUGUGUCAACAUGCAAUAAGAGAUUAAUGAUGAUAACCUUAGUAUAGAAUUCAUAUUAUCUACAAUGAGAAGCAUGAGAACUGAAACUUUCAACCAUUGAGCUUCAGACCCAUCACCCACAUAUGUUAAAGUGAUAAAAACCACUCACCAUAGCAGCUAGAGGCGAACCAUACAUAAGAAUAUUGAGACCAGAACACAUGAACCCUGUCACAUUAAUCCGCACUUGUCCAUGCAACGCCAAGCCAGUAACCAGAACUGCUGCUGCUAAGAACCCCACAUCCAAGAUCCCAACCAGAAUACUUGUCUUAGCCUGCACCACCACGAAUUUGAAUCAUUUGAUGAUCCAUUUAUGGGAAUUGUUUCCGUUUCUGAUAUAACGUACCCUCAUUUUUGGUGGUGCAUAUACAAGGAAGAGAGUUACGUAUACGAUUUCCACCAGGAUUCCAAAACCAUUAACAGUAGCUACAAGGAAGGCUCCUGGUUUGAUGAUGCCAUAGUAGGUCCAUAAGGCUGCAUUUAGUAAUGUGCAGAUAUAAGGAAGACUGUCAAAGUCCUCAGUGGAUUUUCGCUUUACAAUUCUCCAAAAAGUUCUUCUGCAAAAUAAUCAAUCCAAGAGCUAAAAACCAGCUUAAACAGACAAUCAUAAUUAAGAAGGGUGAAGAGUUUUACGCUGGAGAAAGAAACAUGAGCACUGAGAUCACGUUGCCUGGAAAAAGAGAGAAGAAAAUCAGAAGUUGUAAUUAUGGUAAAAUUUUAGCAAGAAGAUUAUGCUUCCUCUUACCUAUCACUCCAAACACCAAACUCAAGAUUUCCAUUCUAUGAAAUCGGCGGUUUCCUUGAAUUCUCCAAAUGGAAAUGAAAAGAGAGUUGGUUAAAUGUGGAGAGAGAGAGAGAGAUUCUUUGUAUCAACAUGAGUCUUGUAAAUUUACUUGGAGAUAUUGAUUUUCUUUCCUGCCCAAAAGAAAUGGACUGCAUAACUUGCAAAAAUGUCAAUGAAUUUUUUCCUUUUUUGGGAAAUUAGAUUUUUAUUCAACAUGAAACUCGAAGUUUAAUUUUUACAAUUCUUCUAAUAUAAAUAAAUCCUAAAUCCUCAUUUUGUGUGUGGUUAAAAGGAUGACAGCAACCUUUAUGCUGAAGCAAUGAAAAUCAAUGUGGAAUUGCAUAUGACACAAAAAGAUUAUUGAUGAGUAAAUAGCUUAAAUAAUUGUAUGUAACUUUCAUACACAGUAUUUGUCACACGUCUAAAUUUUUUAUUGGUAAAGCAAAUUAAUUAUGAUUAACUCUUGUAAUAUUGUAUUCAUUACAAUUAAUUAAAUAUGGUUGUUUAUUUAUUAUUAUAAUAUCAAUAAAUAAAAUUAAUAAUAAAUAAUUGCAUUUGAAUAAAUAUUAACAAGUGUAAUAUUAUGGAUUUUGUGGAAAAUGAGGUUGUUAAACAAACUCGGAAGACUCGAGCAAGAUGAGGUGGGCAUUGGGAACCCGAAAUGUAAUUAAUAAUGUGGGCCCUGAAUUAUUUGAAUUAUGAAUCACGUGCCUUCUUGAAUUGAAAGAAACCUCUGUUUCUGUACUAUUGGUCCAGGAUUAUUGGGACUUUUGUGGUGGGUAUCUUUUUUCUUCAAUAUCACUUUAUUUUGCUCUCUCACUCUAAUUUUCUUUUUCAUGUUUUAUUUUUCUAUCGCUUAUUUAUUUAAUUAAUCAUAUAAUGAAAAUUUAAAAUCUCUCUAGUAUCCGAUAUGACCUUUCAUGAAAAGAAUGCGGGGCCUAUUGUGUCGGAUAGGCCCAAUUCAGAUUCGAUCGCAAGGAAAAUCUGUUAAGACUUUGGGAUGUUGAUUUCAAUAGCAUCCUUUAACAAUAAAGAUACCAGAUCGGCCCCAAAUGGAAAAGCAAAGAAUAUCAAACGGUGAGAAUUCAAUUUCCUGAAAAUCACGCCCUACAUACUGCUGAUUCCGAUUUUCAAACACGCUACUGAAUCCAAACUAGCUCACACACGCAUCCAUCUAAAACCCAAAAAACCACUACCCAAAAAAACUCUUAACUCCAGCCUAAAAAACCGGUACCCAAAAGACCUCAACUCCAACCUAAGGCCCAGGCUCCAAACUAGCUCACACACCCAUCCACGACCUACGCAGCACCACCCACAAAACCAGUCAAAUCCAACCUAAGGCCCAGGCUAUAUGAUGUUCGCACACUAAUUCUGCUUUUUAUCUUUUGAUAAAAGAUAAAUGUGCACACACACGUUGAGAUAUGCAAUAAUUCAUUUUCUAGAGGCUAAAGCCAAAGUAAAUUGUAAGACCCGCUUUCAGUUUUUUGACAUUCUAAUUUAAUCAUGCGGGGCGUUCGUUGUUAUUUUCACAGGCAGCAGCAUAAUCAAAAGAUCAUCGUAUCUAUUUAGACAUAACCAUAUAAAAAAUAUUAUUUAAUAUCUAAGCUCUCAUUUCUUAGGUAAUCCUUAUUGUCUACAUUUUUCCAUGUUAUACAUUAUUAAGCUACUAGCUUAGCAUUCGGAAAAGGGAAGAGGAAAAAAGAUUCAAGAAAAAUGAGUCCCCCAAUCCAAUGGUCACAUUAAUCUUACAACCGAGAUUUUGCUUGUUCCACUGGAGCACUCUGCAACAGGACAGUACAAAAAACAUCAUUAGAGAAUUGCAAUAUACACAACUUCUGACUUGUCAUGGCUCAUAGAUCCCAUUUUGAAUGAUCAAGGUAUACACAACUUGCAUGGUACGGAUAGUUAAAAAGUUACGUAGGUAGAGAAAAUAUCUAGAAAGUUGAAGGAUCAAAAUUAAAUGUUCAGAAUUCAUGAUAUUAGCAACUUCUGUAAUUUAUUGUAUGAAACGGUUGCCUAGACAAUCAUUUCAUCAAUUGGAGAAGUUUCUCCCAACCAAGCUGGGCAAACUCAAGUGAGCUUGUUGCAAAGCGGAAAAUCAGUAGCAUAACUGCCAAAGGUGAGUCCUAGACAAAUGUACACCUUCAUAGGCAUAGAAAAAACUGCCAAGUCUUCUGGUGCAUCAUAUAAUGGGUUUAUCUUUCUUGUUAUUCCAAAUGUAAAAUCAAUAAACUGUAAGUUUUAGAUAUCUCACCAGUGGAGCACCCUUGGCAGCUCUUUCAGCCAAGAAAUCACAGGGCUUAAAGAAUUCUCCGUACAUCUUUGACCACUCCUCCAGUCUUGAAUUUAUAUAUUUUGAUCCAAGAGAAUCAGCCCAGAACAAAAUGCCUCCCCUGAUGCAAACAAAAUCAAUAAAUUAGAGAUGAUAAGCUCUCAGGGAAACCUCUUCUGCUAGGGGAAGAACACAGACCUGUAAAAAGGAAAUCCCAUGCCCAUAACAGAAGCAAUAUCCAGGUCUGCAGCUUUAACAGCGAUUCCUUCAGCAAAGACUCGGCAGGCUUCAUUCACUACUGGGAAGAAUAUCAUCUCCACAAUGUCUUUUUCAGGUAACUUAGCAAGCUGCAUCAAGGAUUAAUCCCACAGAAUGAGAGAGAGAGAGAGAGAGAGAGAGAGAGAGUCCUAUGCCAGACACUUCUAUAUUCUUUUGCUAUUCACAAAUCAAAAUUUUCCAUUUUUCAGCAUUAGAUACAAGUAAAGCAUCAAGCUGAGGAAAGCUGGUAGAGAAGAACAAUUGUUAUGCAGAGAAUAGGAGAGGAAAGACACCUUGGGGUCAAUGGUAGCACCAGAAAUGCUUCUUGCCUUCUCAAUGUAUUUCCUUAAUUCAGGAUCUGGACUAGCUUUGCGCUUGUCAUCAUACAAAUAGAACCCUUUGCGAGUAGUUUCCCCUAUUAUAAUCGCAUGUAAAAUGAAAUGCUCAAAACACAGUUUUUGUACAAUUGUUACUGACAAGUAGUUUCCCCUAUAAUAAUCACAUGUAAAAUGUAAUGCUCAAAACAAAGUUUUAACACAAUUGUCAUUAACCAAGUUAGAGCAAGUCUCUAAAGUUCAGCGGCUACAAUUCUACCCUCCACUUAUAUUUGUGUUGACUGUUGAGGAGAACCAUAGAUUACAAAUGGAAGAAAGACUACCUGCUCUCUUGUCCUCUUGCAUUAGUGGGAUCAGCAUUGAUUUAUAAGUUCGCUCAGGGAAAUUCUCAACAAAUUGCAUGCCAGUUGCGAUUGCCACACCAAAACCAACCAGAUCACACAACCUACAUCACAAAUGAAGUAUUGAACUUGUUCAAUGGGAGGAAUCAGUGAAGCCACAUCAGCUUAAGAUGCAAUAAAUUCAGUUUAUGAAUAUUUCUGUCUCCAGUUAAAAUGCGAGAAAAGAUAGAACCAUGUUUUUUCCAUUGUGUAAAGUACCGGAAUGGACCCAUUGGCAUUCCAAAUUUGGUGAUUGCCCUAUCAAUCUGAUAAAGAUCCAUCCCGUGUUCAACUAGCAAAAUAGCAGCUUGGGUGUAGGGGAAAAACAUCCUGUUGACAGCAAAUCCUGUGCAAUUUCCAACUACAACAGGAGUCUUCUUUAUUUUCUUUCCAACAUCUAGUAAAUCCACAAUUACUUGGGGUGACGUUUGGUUGGUACGAACAAUUUCCAAGAGUGGCAUGACAUGAGCCGGACUGCAUCAGGAACACAACUAAAGGGUUGAGCUAAAAUGAAAAGUAGGGGAAAGCUCUUAUUUUACACACACAAAUAACCACUCAAAAAAUACAGGAAGACAGAGAGAUGGAAGAUGUUACCUAAAGAAAUGAGCUCCAAUAAUCCGAUCCUGGGACAUGGUCCUCUGGCCAAUCAAAUUCAAGUCAAUUGUGGAGGUGUUGCUGGCAAGAAUGCAAUGUGGUGGGCAAUAUUUUUCAAGAUCAGCAAAUAUUUGUUGCUUCAAAGAAACAUUUUCAAUAACAGCCUGUUACAAGAACCAAAUACAAAUAAUUGAGAUGAAAAUUGUCUACUUUCAGAAUAAUAAAAAAUAAAAAUAUUAUAACAAAUCAUCAAACAUUCCAUUUUACCUCAAUGACCAUAUCCACAUCUUUGAAGCUUUCAUAAUCAAGAACACCCUUAAGAAGAGAGAGGGUCUUUUCAAACUUCUCUUGAGACAUUUUUCCUUUCUUGACACGGCUUUUUAGGUUGGCUGAGCAUAAAGGAAUAUUUUAUCAAAACCAUAUAAAUCCAAAAAGCAUGCCAAAAAAUAAUAAUUUGAAAUUACACAAUAGUCAAGUACAAGCAAAUAUCUUAAGAGAAGCCCAAGACAUCACCUCUAACUCUAUCGAUUCCAGCUAGCAAGAACUUUUCAUUUACUUCUUUCAGAAUAACCUGGUAAUUACUAAGGAUCAAUGCAGUUGCUAUGCCAGAACCCAUUAGUCCUCCACCAAGCACUGCAACCUUGUUCACUCGUCUAGGCAUCAAGCCUCUGUCAGUAACUCCAGGAACCUAUUCAAGAUUAAAGGAUAACAAAUUAAUUAAUUUACAUGGUGAUAUUAGUUAUCAUGAUGGCAAAAUCUGAUUUAGCAUUGCAACUCCAAGGAAGUGGAAAUGAACAACCAACAAUUCCAUAAGUGAAACUGCACAGAACCUUUGUGGUUCCACGCUGAGCAAAAAAGAUGUGGACCAAGCUCUUGCAGGUGUCAGAACGAACGAGUAUUUGAAAUUCGUCAGCCUCCUGCAAACGUCAAAAGUUUUAUCAGACAGUUGCCCUUAGCUGCUACUAGAAGCAACAAAAAGAAUAUAGAAGAUGGAUCAGAACCUUCCAGAGUCCAGCUCGAGGACCAGAAACUAUACCCUCUUCAACGACAUCGAUGCAAACUAAUGGAUGUUUGAGAUUAGGAGCCUGUUUCCGAGCUUGUGCUCUUGCAAACUUGAAAAUCUCCCUCGCUUCUCCAAGGGAAUCUAACUUGUCAGUCUUGUAAAGGCUAGCAACCCAGGGCUUUCUACGCUCCAAGAUAUCAAGGGCCCAUUGACGUGCAGUGCUCACCAACUCAUUAGGUGAAACUACAGCAUCUACAAGCCCCAAAGAAUGAGCUUCUUGCCCUUUGACUGGUUUUGAUGUCUACAUCAGAGAGAAUAGAAUAGAGAUAAGUUUAUGACAAUCUAGCUACAAUGUAAACCUGUAGAAGAUGCAAUGAUCAAGCUAUAGAAAAAUCUAGCUAGAACAUACCAACAUCAUUUCAAGGGCCUUUGUUAUACCAACAAGACGUGGAAGUCUCUGUGUUCCUGAGUCGAUUCAGUAGAAGAAGAUUAAAAGGAAAGAAAAUCUCAGUUAAGCAUGAAAUCAAUACCAAAGUCUCAUCUUGUAAAUGUAGAUUAUAUCUUAUGGAAAAAAGUAGCGACAAUAUGGAGCAGUAAAAUAAUUUAAAUAUGUUAGACCUUUAUUUAUUUAAUAUUCAGUUCAAUGCAUGGUGAUACACGUCCAACUUAUGACAUUAGAUUAUAUCAAUUACAUAUGCAUUGAGACAAUAAACAGGACCAAGAUUUGAGCCUAUAACCAUCAAACUACAUCAACUAUAUAUGCAUUAAGACAUUAGGGAGGAGAAGCACAAUAAAAAGCAAUUCCAGCAGUCUUCCAUAAAUAGGGAACAUAAUGAUCAGGCAUACCUCCAAAUCCAGGAAUUAUUCCAAGUUGAAGUUCGGGCAGACCCAGUUGUGCUGUGGGUGUUGAGAUACGAGCAUGACAUGCCUGACAUAACAAUUCAAUUAAAUUAUCUCAAGAAUUUGAUCAAAAAAGCUACCAGAUUGAAAUAGAUAGCAAUACAUACCAUUGCAACCUCUAAUCCUCCACCUAAGGCAAGACCAUCAAUGGCAGCAACUGAAGGCUUUCUUGCAGCUGGAGAACAAAGCAAGCAGACAACUAGUCAGCACAUACCAAUGCAAUUUUUUCAGAAAAUGCUUAAGCCAAUGUGAACAAAAAUAAAACUGUAUCAGGACCUUCUACAGUGUCCGUUAGAAUCUCCACAGCUAUAAAACCAGGCUUUGGUUGAUCCACUGAGAAAACAUAAUUUGGACAUUACUGAACUUGCAAUUAUGCAUUGCUAGAGUAUAAAACAUAUAAUACGUUACAUGUACCAUUUCCCCUUUGAAUUCCACCAAAUGCAGUAAUAUCAAAGCCACCAGAGAACUUGCCCUUUGCACCUGCACCAUUGACAUGACAUGUUAGCUUCACAUCCCAUAGACCCACUUGAACUCAAAAAAUGGUUGACAAGCAUCCACACAAUAUAAGCUUUUUUAUUUGAAAUAUAAGCCUUUUUUUAUUUGUAACAGCUUCAAACACACCUGUGACAACAAUUGCCUUCACAUCAUCUCUUCUCAAGGCUUCGUCAAAACUAUCUUUCAAGCUAUUUAGAACUGCAAGAAGACCAUAAGAGGAAAAGAGUAAUAAGCCCAAUGUCUAGUCACAAUUAUGGAAAAUAUCAUCGUUUCCAAAAAGGUGUAAAGCAUAAACGAAGGGAAAAAAUAAACAAAUAAAAACACUGAAGCAAGCCUAAGCAAUUGUCUGAUUGUUGUCAAAUUUUAGAACAACAUAGCCAUUGGAUCACCCAAAGCCAUAAACCCAAAAUUUUAAGACCCUGAUCAAGUAACGGACUUUUAGCUUAUCGGAGGCAAGGAGUACAACUUCUACUGAGAACAUGAAGUUCAGUGAUAGUAAUCUAAAUGGGCACCUUUUAGCCUAUGAAUAUUCCUUAUCAAAUUUUAUGGAACUUAACAACCCGAUCCACCAUAUUAUCCAUCCAUCAAAUUUCCUAUCAUUUGAGCAUAAACACAUUCCCAGAGGCACUCAUAAUCCUGUCAAAUCAAAUACACCCAGAAUAGAUCACUGCAUAUGAAGCUAUCUUAUUGUGAUCUCCAGAGCCAAUCUCUUCUCCCAAUCAAUGACCAUCUAAUCCUUGAAUCAAAUAGCAGGGCAAUGUCAAGAAGAUCAAAAAUCACCAAAACAAAAGCUAACUCGGCUGUGCUUUCAAAAGCUUUGCAGGGAAAUAAAUCCCACAAAGACAACGCAAACAGCUAAAUAAUACAUGGCUGAAAGCUCGCCGAAUAAAAAUUAAGAAAGGAAAGUCGAUUAAGCUUCACUAUGAAAACAAGAGCUCAUGAAAUGAACUGAGUAUAUAAAGAUCUGGGCAAAUAANNNNNNNNNNNNNNNNNNNAAAAAAAAAAAAAAAAAGAGGGUACCAUCGAAAGAGAGAGAAUUAACAGGAGGAUUGAUGAUGGUGAUGACCGCUACACCAUCAGCUCCAACAUCAAUGGUGGUUCUCCCCUUAGCAGCGCUUCCCAUGGCUUCUGUACUGAGUGAAAAUGGAAGAAUGGGAUUUGGAAAUGGAUAUUAGUUAGUUGUUGAGAAUGAUUUAAAGAGGGGAUGAAGAAAAGAGAGACGUGCAAGGCUCGGCUGAAUGACGCUUGUAAGGUGUAAUGUUAGGAAACGCACCUUGUAGAAUUGCUAUGAGAUUUAUACAAUUGCAGUCGCCGCUGUAUGAUAUUAUUAUGUAUUAUUUGUCUUCUAAUUUGGAUAAGCGCUUAUGCUCCAGCUCAAUUGCUUUCUGUUGAGCGUGUGGCACACUCGCCUAAUUCUUCCCUUUUUCAUGCAGCUCCUCCUCCUCUUCCCUUGUUUCUAUCGCACAAAUGCUGAGAACGUUGGUGGCCAACUCUUUUAUUGGCCGAAUAUACUAUUUGAUGAUGGAUUUUUACAUUAAAAAAUCAUUUACAUAUUAUAUAAAUAAUGUUUAUUAAUUUCAAAUGGCCAUAAAAAUACCCACCAAUAAAAAGUAUAAUUGAAAAGUAAUUUUUUUUAUUUGAAAAAUAGAUGAAAAUAAAACGAGUAAGGAAAGUAAAUGGUUGUUUUUUCUUUUGUAUAAUCUUUUUAAUUUGGCGAGAAAAAUGGGGAGAGAUUGGAGGAAAAUUAUACUAUUGAAAUUAAAUUACACGUCAUAUAUAAUUCAAAUGUAAAAGUAAAGGGAUGAAAUAGUAUAUUUUCUUUCUUUUUAUAUUUUUAACUUUUCAACUAAAGGAAAAUAAAAUUAUUUUAAUUUCUUUUAUUUUUAUUUUCCUUCUAUUUGAAUAAAAUAAUAAAAGUAAAAAGUUUUUCUCUCUUAUUUUUUUCCUCCCUUUAUAUUUUGCCAAAUAUAGACUACAAGUUUUGUCAUAAGAGAUUAUUGAAAUUAUGUAAAAUUUGUUAAUUAUUUUAUACUUUAUAUUAAAAUGUAAUUAUAUAAUUUUAUAUUAUAUAUAUAUUGUAUUUUAAUUUUAAUAUUUUUAAAUAUAUAUAGGAUAAUUAAAAUGAUAAUUAAUCAAGUAUUUUUCAUAUUCUAUCGUAUAUUUUUAAAUAUUCUAUUUAAUUAAAUUUUAAUAAAAUGGAUUUUGAUAUUUAUAAUUAAAUUUUGAUAAUACUAUUGUGAGUUUAGAGUUUGAGUUUAUUUAUAAAGUAUUAGCUAUUUAAAUUUAUUUAUAUAAAUAAUUAAUUUAAUUUAAAAAAUAUAUUUUAUACUAAUAUUUAUAAUUUUUUUAUAUAUAUUUUUAAAAAAUAAAAUUUAAAUAUUUUUUUUAAAUAUUAAAAUUUUAAAUAAAAAUUAUUAAUAAAAAAUAUUUUAUAUAUAAAUUAUUAAUUAAAAUAUAUAAAAUUAAAUAAUUUUAAUUAAUUUGAAUGAAUUCAACUGCAACUAAAAUAAAUCAGAUUCAAAUAAUUUAAUUUUUAUGAGCAGCUUAUUCAUUUACUUCCCUAAUAUGUCUACAGUGUUAAAAAAAUACUGUACAUGGAAGAUUCAUUUCCACGCGCUUACCUUAUGAUUUAUGGCGAUACCAACUUAACAGUACUUUUUGUUAAAAUAUCACCUCGAAGUUUUAAACAUCGCCUCCAAGUUUCAGAAAAAAAACACAUUUCAUUCUUUAAAAAGUAAUUAUUAUAUUUAAUAAAAAUAAAUUAAAAUUUGAAAAAAAAAUAAUUAACACUUAUUAAUUUUUAAAAAUGACAAAUGCGAAGUAUAAUUCGGAAUAAAUAAGAAAAUAUGUUUUUUUUAAGAAGAAUAAACUAUUUAUUGUUAUAUGGACGGGAGUUAGAAAUUUGAUUGAUGUUUUCAAAGUUCACAGAUCCCUAUGCUAUCUUUUUAGAACUCAUUUCGAUACAUGUGCCCAUAAAUCAAUAACGGAUAGGUAUUAAAAAUCACACUAUAUUUUAAAUAAAAGAAAAUAAAACAUUUACACUCAAUUAUUUUUAUUAGUUUUUCAAAGAAUGCAACACUAAAAUUUUUAACUUUUGUUAAAUUAUAUUAUUGCAUUAUUUUAAAUAUAAUAUUAUAUAAAUAUUAAUAACAGGAUAUCUGUUGCGCUGCUGGUAAAGGUUUUUUCUGUUAUGGGUCGUGGGCCUUCUUGUAUGGGCUUUUGAAUUUCCAAUAUAUAUAUUUUUUUUUUUGUUAAACGAGAUCUUGGGAAAACUACCUGCAUCCAACGACACCGUUCUACUCAGCCUCCCCACUCCCAAAAACUAAAAGAAAUUCCCGCGCAAGUGCAACCAAAGCCCUCCAAAUUUCUUCCAUCCCUUCAUCAAAAUUCCACACACAAGAUUUCAUCCGUAGAUAGAGAUCAAUCAUGGCCACCGCCUCCACCAGCGGUAGAGACGAAGACCCGCCGCCGCCACUAACCGAUACCGAGAUCGUAAACCUAGCCCAUCAAAAUAACCUCCACGCUUACCUUCUUUCAACGUCUUCCCACACUACUGUCCUCUCCUACCUUCACACCCGUUCUCGUUCUCUCACUCCUUCAAUCGCCGUCUCCGAGUAUACACUCUCUCUACUGUCACUCAUUUCUCUCUCUCCGUAUCAUCCUUCUCUAUCUUCCUUACUCUCCUCUCUCCUCUCUACAUACACCCAUCUCUUCCUUUCUUUCCAAAUACCACAUGACCCCAAUUCCCUCAAAACAAUUAAUCUUUUCGCCACCCUAUUAAACUAUGUCCCUGUCAAGGAGCUUGAGUCCAUAGUUGAGUCAAUUGUAAUGGGUUUGUCAAAAUUAUUAGGUUCUGAAGAUACCCAGAUACUUGAUAUUCUUCCGGGUUGUUUUAGCUGCUUGUGUGUUGAAAAAGGAAAGGAAUGUGUGAAUUUGAUGUUGGAUAGGAUAAUUGAGAGUGACUGGUCAAAAGGAUUGUUGGUGAAGAUGGUUUUUCUCUCAAGGGAACUUGCAGGAUUUAUUGAUAAGGUGAGAGCGAGGGAGCUGUUGGAGAAGGUGUUCAAGGGAAUGAAGAGCGUGGACUUACAGGACUUGCCUUUGCUUUCAUAUCAGUUAUUGGUUUUGGCGUCUAAAGGGUUCAAUAAAAGGGAAGUGAUUGCUGGGAUUAUGAGGUUUUUUGGGUCUGAAUUGGUAUCAAAAGCAAGUUCCACCAUUAGACAAGUUGAAGGGACUGUUUUGCUUCAUGUUAAUUUUGCUGUGAAGCAGGAUCCCUCUCUGGGGCAGGAGGUUAUAGGGCUUGUGAAAUUGGACCCCAAGGCUCUUAAUCAUUUUGCUGUGGCUGUUUUAUUGUCUGUUGCAAAAGUUAGGAAGUUUAGUGAGAGUUCCAUGGGGAUUUUGAAAGCUUCAGUUCUUACAGCUUAUAGCGAUUAUAAGUUUUCCAGGUAAGGAUUAUCCCUUUCAAAUUCCUUAAGUUAAAAAUAUCAAGCUCUGUGAAUAGUUGAUAUGAUAGCUGUUUCCCCUCAUGCUGCAAGACAAUAAAUUCUUGCUUGUAGGCUUUAGUAACCGUGCAUCAAGUGUUUGUGUAUUCAUUGUCAAUUUACCAUCAAUGGCUUUCUUGUCUUAGCGUGAAUGAAGACCAGCCUGAAGCAGCGGAUUAUUGUCUUUAACUCCAUUUCAAUCUGAAAUAGGCUGAUUCAUGUCAAUAAAGCUGUUAAUUUUGUUAGUUACUCUAUUUUAGUAGUUCGUCAGUGUUGACAUUUUUCCCUUUCCACCAAUCUAACAUUCUAAUGUUACUUUGUUUUGGAACGUUUGCCUAACUUUCAGGAACUGUCUGUGGUUACCAGAUGAUUCAAAGAAAGAAUAUCUGCAAAAUGUCCAAAUCAUGGAGAAGUCUAUAUUAAGAGCUGUUAGUUUCUUUUACCACACAUCAAUCAGUUGGUAUGUGUUGGAACAUUUUUUUCCAAUAUAUAUAAGGCGAGCUUAUUUGUCUUCAGGUUAAUGAGAGCAACUAUGGAAGGGAGCAUAUUGUUCCUACCAUUGUGCAGUUUAGCUUUGCUUUGCUAGAGUCAUCGGAAGGGGGAAAGCAUGGAGACCUCUGCAAUUUUGAUGGUCUGUUGGGAAUUGAAGAGCUUAGUGUUCAGAUGCUGAAAAUUUUAUUUGAUAUCCACGACAUGGCAAGAAAUGAGGUUGUUACAACCUGCUUAAGUAAAUGUUAUCUGUUAUCUUCAGUUUUUUCUCCUCCAUUGCUUCUUAUUUUCUUUUGGCAGGCUCCUCUAAUGUUGAUAUGAAUUUGAGAACAAAAAAAAUCUUAAUUUGCAAGUAUUCCUACUUCCUUCAAUUAAUUUUGUGUUGGGAGUUAUCUCCUCUUGGCUAAUGAAGAGUAUCCAAAAUUCAGACAAAUUUGCCAAGGAAUUUGUCUUUGGCUAAUUAACUAGUGUUACAUGAAUAUAAUGUCUAAGCGCAACAAUAGUGAUUUGCCAACAUGUUUCAGAUCAUUGAGCAGUGCAAGUUGCGCAUCCUUUCUUUGAAGCCAGAGCAAAGCAUGUCAGUCAUAAGGUAACUGCAAGGCACUUAAAUAUCAAACUUUUUAUGAAGUUUGUGUGAAAACUUUGGUUGUUGAACUUUCUUUGCAGACUGGUAUUUUCUCUGGUUCAAAGUUAUCCUUACCCAGUGUUGGAACAUGUUUCUCGUCUGAAGGAAUUAUUAGAUUACUUCACUUUUGUCCGUGGGAAUGUUGCCUCAUAUCUUGUUGCUGCUCUAGCUCCUCUAUUCAAAUUUAAUCGUGAUCUUCGGGUAAAUGCUUCUCAUGUAAAAACUGCAAAAUAAUUACAUAAAAAUACUUGACGUUUAAUUGGUUCUACAAAUUUACAUGCCUAUUUGUUUCUAUAUCCAACAAUCUGGUGAUGAAACUACUCAAAGUUAGAUUUAUGGUGUACAAUUUUUGAAGAAUUUCUAAAUGCUUUCUAUUCAUUUGCUAUCUUAUUUCAACUCAUUGAAGUAGUAAUGUCAUGAUUUCUCACAAUGCAGGAUUAUACCAUUUUGGUUGUUCGUAAGGCCAUGUUUAGAAAAGAAGAUGCAGUUCGUCUUGCAGCGACAAAUGCUACUAUUAGUGUUCUAUUGGCAGAAAAACAAUCCACAAGAGAUGGCCUAUUCUCCUUUCAAGACUCAUCAAGCCAAGCAAGUUGCAGCCAGAAAGCUGAAAUACCCUGUGGCUAUUCUGGAGGUCUUUUUCAAGAGUUGAGUGGUUUACUACAAAGAUGUCUUUAUCUGCAGGUUACAUCUUUGUAUUCCUUUUUUAAGAUGGGGUGUGUUUUCACUCAAAUUUGCUCUUGUCAACUGUCUAAACUGUCAGAUCAAUUGCUGUCUUCAGGCAAAAGCGAAGAAAGCCAUGUAUCAUGGUCUUUUGAGGCUUGUCUUGGCAGAUCCAGCAAGUGGGGGAGCUGUAUUUGAUUUCCUCUUGCCUCACUUCCUUCAUUUUUUCAAGGAGGUAGUUAGUCAAUUCAUAUUGGAGUUAUUUGUGAAUAUCAUCUUAAAGUGGACACCUUGACUUAGCUUGUUUUAUAUGUAGGUUCUUACUUCUUAAGCAAUCCGGUUUUUUAACUAGUAUAUAGAAGUAAUUAAAUUCUGUGCCUAACAUUGGAACCUGUUAUUAACAGGAUGAUGUUGUUCAACUUCAAAUUGGUAGCUGUGUUAAAUCAGAUGGUGGCCAAGUUGUCAUUGAAGAGCCUCUGGAUUGUCUUCUAUCUUGUGUUUCUUGGAUUUUGCUCCUUCAACCACAUGAUAAAGCCAGUAAUCCAGAUUCCUUAGGGGCAUGUUUUGGUUUCUCCCUUUCUCAAGAGAACGAGGUAUUAUUAGUUUCAUGAAAUUGAGUAGAUUUGUUGGGAAAUGUUAAGGCAUGAAGGUUUAGUUACAUUAUAUUAUUCAAUUGCUGCAGGUAGGAAGACAUCUGUCCGGUGAGGCAUUCUCCAAGGCAUUCUUGCAGAUUCGAAAAUUUCUAAAGAAGGGAAAUUUGGAAGGUUUGGGACGUUUAAAAUUUAGCACUAUAAUUCCUUAAUUUCUUUUGAUACACUGUCAGGCUUUUGCAGAGAAAGUGUAAAUGAUUUAUAAGGGUUGUAUAUUUUCUAUUUACGGUUGAAUGUAAUAUAAACUACAUAGAUAAGGGUUAGUUUUCAUUGGCGGCCUCAUGUUGUGGCUAGAAAUGAUCACCUUUGCUGGUAAACUAUUUGGUAUUUAUGUGUACGAUUCCUUUAUAUGUUCGCUUUCACUUUGAGUUCAUGAAAUCUAGAAGAUAACGUUAAAUUUUGAAAAUGAGUUUUUCUUUCCCUGAAAACAGCUAACUUUCUUGUCUGGGAAAACAUUUCUUUCACCAUUUUUUUAAAAAUGUCACAACAUCGGAAAAUUAUAUAUAUAUAUAUAUAUAUAUAUAUAUAUAUAUAUAUGUUUCCUGGAACAUUUUCCUGGUACAAAUUAAGCUUUAAUAUUUUUGAACUUUUUUGGGGUUUAAGGAGUCUUUCUUUGGUGAAAGCAUGUGCGAAAAUGUAUUUUCUGCGGAUGAAAACUCUUGCUUAUUAGUUUCCCUCUCUUCAUGUCAGAUCAGACAUUCUUAGUGCGACACAGGGUUCUGGUUCUACAUCUGUAGAAGAAGAAAAUAAAAAAUGCCGAGCAUUGAUUUUAUCAGGCAUUAUUGAGGUGGUAUUGAAUACUAUUGCUACUGAAUUGGAGAAAGCGACGGAUUUGAACAGGGAAGAUCUUGAAAAGGAAAUUCUUGAGUUCGUAAAUUUUAAUGAGUCACUGGAAAAGUAUACUUGUGCAAAGCAGAGUUCUGUCAUCAGAAGUCAGAACGUACAAGCUAAUGCGCUUGAAAUACCUUAUCUUAGUAAUAAGGGAUUGACUCAAGAAUGGAUUCCAUUCUUUGCAACUUCAAGUCUCUGUCAGCUAAUGAAAACAGCAAUAAGUCUACACAAUAGUGAACGCUCUCGAAGUUCUGCAGCUUCCCAAAACCAUAGCCAGUUGCCCUCAAGGGAGACAUCGAAAUGCUUUAAGAUUAUUCGUUUUGUCUUGAAUAGUUCCCUUCAUCACAUAAGAUCUUACUGCACUGGAAGAAAAGAAGAACCGUUGAAGACUUUAAUAUAUGGGGAAAUCAAUUUAAUGGGUCCUCCUUUGCUGAAACUAAUUUGCUUGCUUAAUUCAGGACCAAAGCUUGCAACAGAUCAGAAAAAGGAAAUGAAGGGGAAAAAGGAUGUUGAAGGCGGAAAGGAGCACCUUCACCUAGCCUUAAUCUGUUUGAAGGAAUUGAUUACAAUUAGUUUGAAAAAUUCACACUCAACUAGCUUGCUUGAAGAUUUGUUGUCAGUAUCUACUCUCAAGUAUGAGAUCGAUGAAGAAGAUGAAGAAAUUUCCAGGAUUGCUGAUCAACAGAUAAGAAUCAAGAUGAAUUUCAUUGUCAAAAUUCUGAGGCCACUGAUCACUGAGCUUCUAGCACAAUCAUCUUUUCAUGAGAUCGAGGUACAUUCAUUAUCUGUGCCUCAUUUGAUCCAUCUUUCUUGCUGAAUUUUAUUAAUUUCCAAAGAUAACACCAUUUGAAGUGUCAUUUUGAUUGUCAGAUUGUCUGUGAGAUGUUAUUGUUGGUUUGUGAGAAAUUGCCCUCCAGAUGGAGGAAUUCUAAUGGGUCCUGGAGUAUUCAUCUCUGCAAAAAGAAUGGUGGCAUUAGAAAUUCCAAGGUUGCUAGAAGGGUUGCUGAACUUGCAAUUUCUUUAAGCUCACCACCGGAUGAUUUAGUUGUAGCUCAAUACAUGGCUGAGGAACUACUGCAUGUCAUUGGAUCGGAGAGGAACACCCAAAUAGAGAUGACUGAAUCUUACACCAUAAUAAACCAGUCGACAAGCACUGCUAUAAGUUCAUGCAUACUAAAGUUAAUUGAAGCAGUUAUCACUGAUAUGGAUUGGGCCGUGAAAAAACUAAAGAUGUUCUCUCUGGUAUUGCAGAAAAGCAUUCAUCUUAGUCAGAAUGGAGAAGAGGUUUCUGAAUUCCUGGUUGAGGAUAAUCUUUACUUGAGGGCUGAAGCAGUGGUGAAAGUACUAUCUUGCUUUGUUUUGAUGAGGCUUAAGGGUAAAUAAGCAGUUUGCAUGGACAAAUUAUUCUGUUGUAUAUACUGUUCCGUGUCCAAGUAUUAUAUAGUUUUACUGUUAAAUAAUUAUAUGCAGAUCCCCAAGCAGAGCAUUUUCUGAGAUUGACUGCAAAGUUUUACAAGCACUUGGCUCAGAUUUCAAGACUCAGAAUUGCUCCAAAAGGAUGCAAACAACUCAUCCCUUGUCCGACUUUCCAGAGGCUUGUGGAAAUAACCUGCAAGCAGCUCACAGUUCCUCUUUAUAAAUUUGUUGCGGAAUUACAAAGGGUAUUUUGGUUCUGUCACCACCUGUAAAAGUAACAUAAACAUAGGAUAUGUGUUUUUCUUUCAAGAAAUUCUUGUUUAUGGAUUCUAUUUAAUGGGAUUUGCAGGAACAACAAGAAAAUCCUAAUACUAAGGGUAUCAUCAACAAGAUCAAGAGAGAGAAUAAAUGUAUUCCUGAUCUGAUUUUUCAGAUAGAAGAUUAUGAGAAAUAUCUCAUCCGGCUCAGCAAGGUGAGCAAAGUGAAUUUACUGAAGCAUGCCAAGCGUAGCACCUCUAGGGAUUUCAGAAUAUUAGAUAAGAGGAACAGUGGAGAAGAUGCUCCAAAUAGCCAUGAGGCUGCCAAUGACAAUGAGGGUAGAUUACAUGAUUCAGAGGACAAUGAAUCAGAAAGGAUUUUGUCACCUCAUAUGGAUAGUCCUAAUGCUGCAGAGGAAUCUGACGUUGAGAAUGGGUGCAGUGUUUCUAAUGGCAGGAGAAUAAAGAGGAGUAGAGUUGUGCAGGACUCUGACGAUGAAACAUAGGAAAACAAUUUUGCUUUGAACAAGAGCCUCACAUGGGCAAAGAGUUGCAAUCUCCAUAGAACGUCCUGCCCCCUUUCAUAUGGCACAUUUCAUCACAUUUUUUACUGAAAAUAUUUUUCCGAUUUUAUGAUAUUGGAUGUUGAUGACAAUUUUAAUCUAAUAAUUAGCAUUGAAGUGGUGAAAUGAAAAUAUUCCAGUUUCGAGUACAAUGUUUGAUAUAGAUGUUGACAUUUUGCUGUCGACGUUCUGACAUUUUCAAGCCACUUGAAGGAGUAGAAAGGGGUACCUCCUUUCUUUUGAAAAAGAAAAAAAGAAAAAAGAAUGCAUUAUGAGUGCCAACUUUCAAUUAAUCUUCCUGUAAAUCCCUCUCACAAGUACAAAAAUAAGGCUCAUGUUAUAGGUUUCAAACUCCAUAGCCAACUUCACCUUUUGGAAAACACUGGAGUUGUAGAUAGUAUAGCAAUGGUGGUGGUGUUAAUUGUGAUGAUAAGAUGAUCCCGUUGCUUGAAAGACAUCAAUCCAAAGUUCCAAACCAUUUCAAAUAAAAUUAAAUAUACAACUUGAGCACAGUAAUCUCUGGCUAGAGUUUUUGGAUGCCAGAAGAUUUGGUUAAAUACAUACAGCAACCAUUAACUAUAUAGCAUAAUGAUCAUGAACUGGCUGUCCCUAUCUUCGUGAUGGGUCUCCAUCCUCGUCACCCAGAUUUGAAUAACAGAACUGCUUUCUGGUCCAAAUAGAAAUAAAUAAAGUGGUUUGUCUCAUGAGUCACAUAUGAACCUGUGGAUACCAGAAAUAAAUAAAUAAGAAAAUGAUCAUUGAAAUUUUAUCCAACUGAAGCUACAGCAUGACCAGACAAAUCCUCCCCACCAACUUGAUUCCCCAGUCCUCAAUUCCCCAAAGCAUAUUGAUCAACACUAAACAACAAACGCUUGCUUAGUCGCACAUGUUUAUACUGAUGGAGUCACUAGCCUAACCCUACAUGUAAAUGGCACUAGAUUAUUUCCCAUAAGUGGUUAAGAAGCAAAAGAAAUCAAGUAAACAGUCCAGUCAUUGUCCAUCUAUUACACUGUCAAUUUCAACUAAUUAAGUUGCACUCAAUUGGAAUAAUAAUGUCCUAAUUCCUAACCAAAAGUUGCUCAAACCAAAUAAAAGAAUAAAAACCAAGAUUGCUUCCGUAACCUACCGAGCAAUAGGUCAUUACAUCCCCAAAUUUGUUAAGGACUCGGUCGUGCUAAUAUCAUGUUAUUUUCUUUUUUGCAUUUUGAAUGAGUUAGUUUGUCACGUGAAACUAAAUCAAUACAAAGGAGAACAAAACGGACUUCCUCUCUCUCAAGAUCUAAAUUACUUUGUCUACUAUGUCCCAACUACUAGUAGAAAGCAAGUAAACGGACUAGUUAUUGCCUAUCAAAAUUGACGUCCAAAACUGACUAAGCCACGUACAACCAAGAUUACUAAUGAAGCCCUCCCUAGAUGCAAUUUAACCAUGGCCCAUUGCAUUCCCAAAUGAGUUAAUUACCAAGCAUACUCAUAUCAUCACCUUUCUUCUUUCCAUUUCAAACUUGGUUUGACAAGCACACAACUUGGUCAAUAGUUUUAAUAAUGAAGCCUACCACUACUGGACUGCUUUGAACCACAGACACAAAUGCAUUUGUAAGAAAGAAAUUGUUUAUGCAAACCUAUUACAUUGCCUACCAGAGGAACAAACAAAGUUCUUAUUUCUCAAGAUCCAAAUUGCUUCGUCUAAAAAUCAGGGCAUUCAAUGAUCUUGACAUCAGCCAACAUAAAGAGCCAAGAUUAGGUGGGGUUGUCAUCAUGGGUUAGGAUGUUCCAUCUCUUACACUAUGUUUGAUUGGAAGGAAGGAGGUGUAAAUAAAGGUAAGGAGAGGUUAGUAAUUUAUGUAACUGUUUGGAAAGAAGUGAGGGAGGUGUAAAUAAAAGUAAGAAGAGGUUUACGCCUUAUCCUCCCUUACCCCUUAAAUAUCAAUUCUUCUUAUACCCCAAAAUUUGGUAGGAGGGGGAGGUGAGAUAUGUUCAAAUUUUAAUAUUUGUUACCCUCCCUUACCCCUCCAUUAGUUCAUCCUUUCUGAACAUGCAGUUUUUCUUAUUAUAAAGCUCCUUCCCUUCCCUUGCCCUUCCAUUAAUUACCCCUCCCUCACCUCAUCCAAAGUGAUCUCAGAGAUAAACACUAAAAAAUGAAAGAACUUCGAACUAAAGAUACACACCAAANNNNNNNNNNNNNNNNNNNNNNNNNNNNNNAAAGAAGUCAAAUUAGAACUAUUUGCAAUGGCUAGUAGCUAAUGAUCACUCAUCAACAUCUACUACAUAAUUUCAUUGAACCAUUAAACUCAUGUCACUAUCUGAGUGAGAGCAAGAAAUGCAAGCUUUUAUCAUCCUUUUGUUGAAGAAAUAAGUGGAAAAGGCAGGCCUCAAACUGAAGCUUAUACCGACAAUCAAGCAAAAGUAAAUAACAUCUGAUGUAAGCCUAGAUCUAAGUAUUCCAUGCUUUAACCAUAGAAACAGCAUCAGCCAUCCAGCAAAUACUGACUCCAAUUAGAAACCAAAAGCAUGAUAUCACAACAAUACCCGCAAAAUAGCAACUAAUAUCAUCAAAUCUGAGCAAAAAACAAAAAAUAACAGCCCCACAAAAGCAAAAUGGAGUCGAAAUGGGGUUACCAAAAUUCCGACCAACGAUGCAAUGCCAAGUGGGUCCAUGCCUUCUAUCGAACUCCUUCUUUAUGUGCUCAGCUACAUCCUUCUCUACAUUGAGCUUCUCGAAUGCCUGAAUCAAAAAACAUCCAAAUAAAAAAAGAAAAGAUAAUCAAGUAAAAAAAUUGAAAUGGAAACAAAUAAAUAGACCAAGUUUAGAGAGAAAGAGAGAGAGAGCUAACAGCGAUGGCAAUAUCGACGGCCUCUUUCUGCAUGUCAUCUUUCAUGUCAGCAUUCUUGAUGAUGAUUUUCUUGGCGGUGGGAGCUGAAGCUGGAGAGACUUUCCGAUCAUCUGAGAUGGGUUUAGCCACCAGACCUCCGGUGAUGCUUCUUUUGGAUUCUUCAGUACUCAUUAUGCUGGUUGGUCGGGCCGCUUUAUUUUUCCUUUGAGAUGAAGCUAUUGAGUUCUGAUUUAGCUUUCAGUGAAAUAAAGAGGAGAACAGUUUCUGUCCCACUCUGCGAGAAAGUGUGUCUUUGGAUGAUUUUAUUUCUACUCCCACUCGUGCUUUUGGUUUCCUCUGGCCAAGCAAUUUUUAUGGCGCGGUGAAAGCAGUUGCUGCUCAGCCGUACUCUGUAAAACGAUGUCGUUCAAAGGUUAUAUUGAACUACUCAUCCCCAAGGGGUUAUCCACUCCCGUUUGCUUGGGCCUACUCGGGAUUAGAUUUUGCGAGCCCAAAUUACUUUAAAGAGAGAAAUAAUAAAAUAUUCAUUAAAAUUAAACAAUAAUAUAAUGUAAAGCCCAUCCAUGAUUUUUUCAACUAUGAAAUCAAAGUCCACUGGGCUACAGCUUAGUACAAAAUCAAGAGACAUAUAAAUCCUCUAAUACUCCCAACCUAUAACCCAAAUAAGUGGAAGCCUAACCGAAAGAAAAAAAGCCCACUGAAGACACUUGGGUCAGCUCUGAAAUAAGUACCUCCAUUGUCAACAUCCACCAAAAACAACGCCCAACAAAGAAGCAAUUCCAGGCAAAUAACAAAAUUAAGCGCCAUAAGCCAUAGCUACCUGUCACAAUUAGAAAGAAGGAUUCACCCAUGGCGUUUUUAGUCUUUGAUAGCCAGAGACUCAUUUUGAAUAGUCAAUCAAGCUUCAAUACCUACUUGAGAUCAAAACCCACAAAAAUUCUCAUAAUAAACCGAAAAUACAUCCCAAAACAACACAAAAUAGUAAGUAGAGCCAUUGAAAGCACAUUGACUAUCAGUCUAUCACUGACCUUUGCUGUCGCCUUCUCUCUCUUUCCCUUUGAGAGAAUUAAAUUAAAAAAUACACAACAAGCAGUUUUCACUUAAGUUAAUCAGAGGGCACCAUACAUAUCGUUGGACGCGACGCCGUUUUAUGGUUGGGCAGCACUACUUUUAGCUCACCAUUUUGAAAAUGGACCAGUACAAGUGAAAAAACACUCUCGCACCUUGUCACACCGAGGGACACAGGAAGUGUUCUCUUCUUCGCACUCAAGCGAAAUCACAACCCAGUAGCUUCAUCUCACAGGAAAAUAAGGUAUCUAACCAAUACAAAUAAUGAGUACCGAAGAACCCAAGAGAAGCAUCACUGGAGGUCUAGUUGGUAAACCCAUCUCAGAUGAUCGAAAAGUUUCUCCGGCUACAGCUCCCACCGCCAAGAAAGUCAUCAUCAAGAACGCUGACAUGAAAGAUGAUAUGCAGAAAGAAGCCGUCGAUAUUGCCAUUGCCGUUAGCUCCCUCCCUCCCUCUCUGUAUCUCACUCUAUACUUUGCCAAAAUAUUUGUUCCCUUUUCAAUUUUUUUUUUAUUUGGAUGUUUUUUGAUUCAGGCAUUCGAGAAGCCCAGUGUAGAGAAGGAUGUAGCUGAGCACAUAAAGAAGGAAUUCGAUAGGAGGCAUGGACCCACUUGGCAUUGCAUCGUUGGCCGGAAUUUUGGUAACUCCCAUAUCUACCCUAUUUCCUUUUGUGGGGACUUUAUUUUUUGUUUUUUGCUCAUAUUUGAUGUAAUAUGUUGCUAUCUUUUUUUGGGUAUUGAAGUGCUUUCAUCCAAAGAUGUGCUUUUGUUUCUAAUUGGAUUCAUAUUUUGCUGGAUUUUUUAUGCUGUUUCUAUAUUUAAAGCAUGAAAUACUUAGAUCUAGGCUAAGAUUGGAUGUUACUUACUUGUAUCUAUCUACUGCCGUGCUGCAUAACUGGUUUCUCACCUUUUACUUUUGCUCGAUUACCAGUAUAAGCUUCAGCUGUUGGCCUGCAUUUUGCACUCCUUUCUUCAACUAAAGGAUGACAAAAGCUUGCAUUCCCCUCCUCGCUCAGAAGGGUACAUGAAGUUUAAUGGUUCAAUAAAAUUAUGAUGUAGUAGAUGUGGAUGAGUAAUCAUUAGCUUCUACUCAUUGCAGAUGGAAAUUCACUUUUUUUUGGUGGUGUUUAGCUUUAUCUAGUAGUUUACUUUUUUCUUUUUUUUUUUUAAUAUUCAUCUUUGACAUCACUUUAACCCAAAAUACACCCCACCUAAUAUUGGCUCUUUUAGGUAGUUUGGUGUUGGCAUUAUUGAAUGCGUCAUUUUCGAGACGAAGCAAUUUACAUCUUGAGAAACAUGAGCUCUGUUUGUUCCUUUGUUAGGCAAUCUAACAAGUUCAUAAGCAAUAUCUUACUUACAAAUGCAAUUGUCUUUGUUGCUUGAAGAAAUCUUUUCACGGGUGGAAUUCAUUUUUUGGCCUAUUGACCAAGUUGCGCUUGAAAACAAAGUUUAAAAUGAAAAAAACAAUGGUGUUUAGCUUUUUUCCUAGGUGACUAACUUAUUGGAAAUUUAUUGAACUAUGGUUCAAUAGCAUCUAGAGAGUGCUUUGUCAGUGAUCUUGGUUGUGUGUGGCUUAAUAAGUCUUGCUAGAAACAGGCAAUAAGUAGUCCGGUACUUGCUUUGUAGUUUCUUCUAGUCGUUGGAUAUGGUAGAUAAAUCAAUUUAAAUAUUGAGAAAGAGGAAGUCUAAUUUGUCUUCUCUGUUAUGCACCAUAAAAUACGUACAAUCUCUCUUGCAGAUGCAAAUGUUGUGCUGCUCAAAGUAACACUUUUGUUGGGGAAUUUGUAUUGAUCAUUACUGGCUAAGUUGCAUGCUUGAUAAUUUAACUCAUUUUAAAAUGCAAAGAAGAAAUAACAUGAUAUGAGCACCGCCAUGAUAGAAGCAGCUCCAACAUAAUGGGCCAGGACCCAAAACCAUUUAGGGUAUACUACAGAUAGAGGGUGAGAGGUUUGCGAAUGCAGCCAAAUGGAAUAGAAGGACCAAGAAAAGGGCCACCUGGGAAAGAAGAUAAGAGGAGGUUAUGCCGUUAGUGGAAUCCACGGGAAUCAAUCAUUGAAGAAUAUUAGCUGUUGGGAAUCUCUUUUCAUGCUUAAAUAGUAAAGUGAUCAUUGUGAUUGGUAUGAGAAAUAUUUUGUUCUUUAGCUUGUCUGCUUUUCUAACUUGAGUAGAAGGAGAAUUCCUCCUGGAAAAGCUCAGUCAUUUGUAUUCACAGUGCUUGUUUCUUCAAAUUAAUUCAACCUGCUCUCCAUUCUCUUAUUUUCUUCUGUUCUUUUGCUUCUCACUCUAUUGUGCCACGUCCUUAAAGAUUUGAGGAAGUAAUGACCAGUAGCUGCUAGAAGAGGUUCAGCACUCUUGGUUGUACCUUUUUUGUUUGAUUUGAGUGACUUUUGGUUAGGAAUUAGGCCGAUUUUUAACUUCCAUUUACGAGUACAACUUAAUUACUUGAACUAGAUAAUGUUAUUGGUGGAAAUGACUAGGCUGUUCACUUGCUUUCUUUUGCUUAUUAACUACUAUAUUUCACCUUCUAUUAUCAUUCACAAGAGGGAGCUAGUAAUUUCAGUUCUGAUCGCAACAUCUCUAAUUCUGAAGACACGGAUUUGUUUUCUGUGUUUUUUCCUGUUUCAACUCUAAUGAGACUAGUGAUGUCAUCAAUGUGAUUUCUUCUUAUAUAAACAUGUGUGACUAAGCAAACAUCUGAGCUUCAGUGUUGGUCAAUAUAGUAAAAGGACUAUUACUGCGGGCCUAAGUGGUGAUCAUGUUGUUUAUUUUCCGUAGCAUGGUGUAUUCAUUUCUUUUUACCAGUAAUGAACUGAUUGGAAUGGGAAUUGGAGUCUAGAUAUAGGGAAUCAAAUUGGUGGGCCUCCGGGAGGGGGGGCGGGGGGAUUUGUCUAGUCAUCUUGCAGCUUCAGCUUUUGCCAGCUUGUUAGCAGAACAUUUCGCUUCCUAGGUUUGCCCAGCUUAAUCGAUCCAUAUUGCAUGUUUCUUGUGAUCCUCGCUGAGCAUUCUGCCAGGAUUAGUGCUAACCUCCUCUAUUACAAAUACGGUAUGGCUGCUUCAACAUCUGCUCAGAAAGUUAUUUAGGCAGUCAAAUGCCCAUGAUGAGCGUAAUCUUAGUAUAACCUCUAUUUUUUUUGCUGUCAGACUUAGAUAUCUGUUUAUUUUAUUACAUGAUCUGGACUGCAUGUGUUGUCUUCUUAAUAAAAACGGAAAUUAUUUUGAAUUCCACCCUUGUAGAUGAUGUCUGUUUAUGCUGUUUGUGGGAAAUGGAAUACAAGUUUGUUUCAUCUCUUAGAUGAAAUUUCAGGAUAUUCAGUUUCUCAUUUAUUUGUUUCUGGUAUCCACAUUCUACAGGUUCAUAUGUGACUCAUGAAACAAACAACUUUGUUUAUUUCUAUUUGGACCAGAAGGCAGUUCUGUUAUUCAAAUCUGGGUGAGAAGGAUGGAGAUCAAUCACGAAGAUGGGGAUAGCGAGUUCAUGAUAAUUAUGCUACAUGAAUCAAUGGCUGCAGUGUGUAUUUUUAACAAAAUCUACUAGCAUGCAAAAAACUCUAGCCAGAGAUUACUGUGCCCCAAAUUGUAUAUUUAAUUUAAUUUCACUUGAAUGUUUGUGGCCAUUCCAGUCUGUUGCUCCCCUUGUAUUCAAUAUUUAGUGUUUUGGUUUUUAAACUUAUUAAUUCUGGAAUAAGACUAGAAUUCAAUGUGUUGUACAAAAACUAGAGAAACGUUCUUAUGAGAGAAGACUGCUUCUGCUUUUGCAUCUUUCAAGACAUCCCAGAAAGUAUACAAAAGAGACAAUUAACAGGAAGUAAUUUUCUUUAACCUCUUUUUCUUCCAUCUUAUCGGGAAUUUGUAAAUUCCAGAAGGUCUUCAUAAUUUUAAUAUUAUUGAAUAAAAGCUUGUUGAUGCUACACACAUUUAUUUAUAUAUUUUUGCUGUAAGGUAUUCCAUAAUUAAGUAUGCAGUGUUGAACUUCAUAUUCCAAAUUAAUUCCCACUUGAGGGAAUAAUGUUCAACUAAGUUGAUUGGUUUUGGAAAUAGAAUCUGGGAUUGAAUAUAUAAAACAGAAUAUUACCUUCAAUAAUUAACUCCAAAAUAUGGUAUUCUAUUCUGAAGACUUUACUAAUAAAUAAUUUGUUAAUCUAGCUAUUAGGAUUGAUGAACAUUGAAGAUAAAAUACCUAAACUAGAUUUUUUUAUGUCAGUAAGAAAUUAAAUUAAACCAAAAUUGAAUCCAUUUUUAAAUUAAAAUAAAAAUCAUUAAAAAUUGAAUUGAAUAAAAUCAGUAUUAAAGUCGAUUGAAAUUUAACUAGGAUUAGUAUGUAAAAUUUUAAAUAAAAAAAACUUAAUAUAUAUAGAUACAUAUGCUCUGUUUUACAAUAAUUUUAUUAGUAGUAUUUAAAGUCAAAACACUAUUGUUUAAAAAUUAAAAAACUAAAUUAUAAAAAAAUAUUUUUUAUAUUAUUUAAUUAACUAUUAAUAUCUAUUAAAAUCGUAAAUAACUACUAAAAUAUUUAAUAUUACCGAAUAAGAUCAUAAAAUUUUAUGAUUGUUUUUAUAGAUUCCACCACAUUUUUAUGUAUUGAAUUCAUGGAUAAUAUUUUUCUUUUUUUAAAAAAAUGUAAAUUUGUGUGAAAUGCAUUUUUUAUCCUAAAAAUAUUAAAAUAAAUAAUAAUUGCAUUCUCGUGGGAACCUAAGUGUCCCUUUGCAUGGGAGGAUUUGUGGAUGGCAUCACUACAACAAACAAGUGGGGGGCAAACCCUAAUUAUUCUAACUAGUAGGUAUGCUCUGCUAUGCUCUUUCUAGGGUUUCUACCUUUCAAACCAGUUGCUUCUACACAUUGGAAAGCAUAAGAUUCUAUCCUCUUCUUCUUUCUUUUUUUUAAUCUUUGCCUUUCUCUCUAAUUAUUAUUAUAUACCUCUAAACACAAAUACUUAUUAAUAUAUUUAUUUUUUAUAAUAUAAAAAUUUAUUAAUUAAUUUAUCAAUUUUAAAAAAAUAUUAACGUAUCAAAUUUUAAAAAACUUAUUAAUUAAUUUAUUUAUUAAUUUUAUCUAUUAAAUUUUUAUUAUUUAAUUUUUAUAAUAUAAGAAUAUUUAUUAAUUUUAUCUAUUAAAUUUUUAUUAUUUAUUUUUUAUAAUAUAAAAAAAUUCACAGGUAAUUGAUUUUUUAAUUUAAAAAAUAAAUUAAAAUAUUCAUAUAUUAAUUAGUCGGGCUCUAUAUUUAUAGAAUUUUAAAUUUUUCUUGAGUGAUUCAAAUGUAGUAAAUUUUUUAAAAUCAUAAAAAUGAUUUAAUAUAUUUUUUAAAAUUAAAUAACUAUCUAUUGAAUUUUUUUAUGCUAUAUUAACUAAAUAGUAAAUUUUCUCAUUAAUACAUAUGUGCUAUUCGGUUUAAAUGGGUUCACUUCUCAUUAAAUAAUUUACUUAUAUUAGAAAAAAUAAAUUACUUUUUUAAAAAAAAUUUAACUGCUUAAAAGUAAAAAAAAAAUAUAUCAACCAAACAAAUAUAAUUAUUAUAUUUUUUAAAAACUUCAAAUUAUGUAAUUGAUUUACUUCAUGGGAAUUUCUUCCAUAUCUGCUUAUUCUCCUUGCUCCCUUAAUCAUCCUUAUCAAGUACCAGCUUUAAAAAAAUUAUAGAAUAUAAUCAGUCUGAUGUACAAAAGUUUUGUAUAUAUAUAUACAUAUAACUCUGUUCAUGGGGCCUUUGAUAAAAUUUGUUGGUGGGUACCAAUUCUUGAAUCAAGUGCAAGUUUCUUCAUCACCCACAAUAUUAUAUUCUUACACAAUUAUAGAUAAUUAAGUAAUUUUUUAAAUUUUGUUUUCAUUUCAAAUAUAAAACUUAAUAAAACUAUAUAUGCAAAUUGAUAUUUUUUUCAAUAUAUAUAAAUCAAAUUGAAUUUAUGAUUUUUUUUCAAAUAUAUAACAUUUUUAAAAUAUAAAUUAUUUUUUCAUUGAUAAAAUUUAAUUUGUAGCUUUCCAUCAACACACAUCAUACUCUUCUUCACAUCUCUCUCGUUGACACCGCAGAGACUCGUAGCCUCUUUCUCAUCUUACAGAUGAUACUAGUCGCCAAUUCAUGGUCAUCACGUCGGCCAUUCCUUUUUGGUAUGUCUCUUGCUUCGAGUGGCUCGACUGUAACACUGCUUCCUCUAUGGCUCGACUGUAACACUGCUUCCUCUAGUCAGCCCAACGACUCAACGCCAGCUUAUUGUAUCCAUAACAUCUCGCCUGCUACUAUUUCUUGAAUUUCUGCUGUAUUUUGUGUUCUAUAUAACAUUGAGAGUAUAUGAGCAUACACGAGAACUUGAAAGUCCAGAACUUUUGCAUGGUUUUUUUCUUGCUCUUUGGUGAUCAAUAGUUUUCUUUUUUCUUCCUACUCAGGUUCUAAAGCAUUUCAUUAAUGAAACUCCAUUAAAAUUAAGGACUUAAAUUUAAAGUGAAUGUUUUUUUAUUAAGGAAUUUUGGACCAAAAAAUUAUUAAUAGAUAAACUUUAAGGAUUCAAUAUAGACAAGUACCCUUCUAUUAUUUUUAUGGAAAAAAAGCAUAAUCAACCAACUAAUUAGUCCAGUUUAAGCAAACUCCUUCAACACUGUUUCUAAACAAAUACAUCACAAACCAAACCUUGGCAGCUUCCUUGCAUACUUGAGGCUGAAAUAUGACCGCAGAUUGCCCUUUUUGGCUUCAUUCCAUUACCAGGAAGCUUAAAACUAUAGAGGAUAUCAUUGUCAUUACAAAAGAGAUACUAGGGCAAAACAGAAAACGACACAGAGGAUUUCUAUGUCAUUUCAAAAUUAAAAAAAAAAAAGAGAGAGAGAGCUAGAGAACAGUUUCAAUUCUCCCCCCCCCUCUGUCUCUCUCUCAAUAUGCAAAACCACCUGCUCGGUUUCUGGUGCUUCUAUUGUUACGAGAAGCAUGAGGAGAUGAUGAUGAAGAAGAAGAGGAAGAUGCAGAAGUUGGUUUAAUGGCUGCAAGUGAACAGUUCUCUUUCCUCAUGGUCUCCUCCUCGUCCAUAAAUAUCUGCCUACACCUGCACUCCACGCUACAAAAAGCUAUAUCUCCUCUGCUUAUUAACCAAAAAAGGAGAAAAGGAUCCAUCUUUAAAGAUUAGCAAGUUAGAAUGAAGUCUUGUUGGGUUAAUGUCCAAAAAUUAAAAUCUGGGUAGUCAAGAAAAAACUAAAAAUGAAAUAGUAGGAAAAGUAGGGUUGUUAUUGCUUACUUAUACAUGUAGAUGUCUUUUCCAGGCAAGAGUUUCUGUCCACAAAGAAAGCAAUGCUCAAGAAAAUUAGAUGAGUGGGGAUAAACAGAGCUUGAAGAAAGCAAACAAGAAGUUUUAUUGAUCAUCGCAGUGGCUUUGCUGAUCACUUGUGUGGUUUUGUCAUCAACACCACCCUUUUGUGCCUCCAAAACUAUACUUAAACCAACCAUCUCUCAUUAUAAAAUUUCUCUCUUCUAUAACGACAACAAGACAAAGAGCGUCUCCAACGACUGGCUAAGGCGGCUGCAGCGGCGGAGAAGGAGGAAGAGUCGAAGAGAUAGUGUUUUGGAAAUUGAAGGGAAAUAAAUAAAGAGAGAGAUGGUAAGAAAGACGAAAGGAAUUGGUGGGUCCAUUACAGCACAGUAGUCAGGACGAUUAGCUAGCCAACGAUUUGACUUCUUAUGCUUAUUAACUGCCACGUAUCUCUUUUCAGUUUCCAUUCCAAUUUCUUUUUUGUUUACUUUUCUCCUUUUUUAUUUUUUUUGUUUGUUUGUUUUCUUCCCUCUUCACUUUGUACAUUACAGCUCACUAAUGACUCCCAUAAUCCAUUAUUGAUACAGAGAUCAGAUCCUAGCCAAAUGAUUCACAAACAACCAUUGUAAGCCAUCCAUGAAAAAUUGCAAGUUACCUAAUGACGGUACUCGCCAAGUGUUUGAUGAAAUGCCUAAGUUGGGGUUAGUUGAUGUAGGCGAGCAAGUUACCCUCCAAAUUAAAGUCGGAAAAUGAAUGGUACGGAAUGGGCACAUGAGUACGUGUCCAUGGCUUGAGGGGUGAGGCUCUGUGCAUCCGACUACAAAUCUCUGCGCAUCGUGAGCUGAAGAAGAAGACCCACCUCGCAGGUAGCUGACACGUUGAUCAAUCAAGUGAUAAAAGCGCAAGGACUUGAACCCUCCAAGUGGGUCCACGUAAUUCUUACCAUUUUAGGCCGACAUGUGGGUCGAAUACAACUCUACUAAUUUCACUUUCAUGGGUCCCAUUCCCAUCGGCCAUUUUGCUGGAGGGUUUGAAUGAAGAAGAAGGUGUUGGGCCGCGUGCGUGUCCUGAGAAUGAUAGAAAGUGGGGCCCAGUUUCCAACUAAUUGAACUCAACUGUGUAAGGCCCAUUUUGAAGUUGAGAUGACGUGACAGUUUUUUAUAGACUCUUUAAUUUCAAAUAAUAUUUUAAAAAAAUAAAGAAAAUUCAAUUAUUUUCAAUGCUUUAGGUCUUCCUUAUUCCAAUUGAAACCUUGAUGGUACUCCAAAAGUAUUAUGAUUUUUUAAACAAAUAAAGUUAGUCAAUAAUUUUAAUUUUUUGUGAAAAACAUUGAAUAUCACUUAAAUGAGAUUGAGGGAAUAUAGCACUUUAAUAAGGAAAAUAAUAUAUCCCACUUUAAUUAUCUUUUAAUUUAUCAUUGUAUUAUUAGAUAAAAAUCAAACACCCGACGUCAAAGUAAAGAGUCCUAGGAUGUGAUUGAUUUGAAUAAUUAAGGAUAAUUAUUUUUAAAAUUUAACUUAUUUUAAAAAUAAUUUCAAGCCAACAUUUAUAUGACUAAUUGCGUUUAAAACCUAAAAGCAAGAUUUGAGUUGAAAGACGAUACAUUUAGGUAUCAAAUCAACUUUCACUGCAGAAUUUUCUUUAUCAAAUUCAACAUUUAUUUUUUGUUGCUACCUAUAAAUUCAACAUUAUUACUGUAUCUUCAUAAUAAAAUAUGUGCUAAAUUAAUCUUAUUUUAUGACUGUAUAAUUUUAAAUUUAAAUUUAGUAAAUGAAAAGAAAAUAUUAAAUAUUACAGAAAAGAAAGGAGGAGGAUUAAAAAUAAAAACCUAGCAUCAUCUUACUUUUUAAUGAUUCAAUUUGGUGCAUCUGAACAAAAAUUGGUGAGAAUAUUUAUAUUUUAAACAAAAAUUUAUUAUUUAAUUUUUAUAUUAUAAAAAAUUAUUCUUUUUAUUUAAAAAAUAUAAACAACUAAAAUUUUCAUUUAUUAAUAAUUUAAAAAAAAAAGCAAUAGAACAAAAAUAAUAGAGAUUAGUAGGGACCAAUAUAAAGAUAUAUAUUGAGAAUGAGAAGUGGGUAUAGAAUCCAGGAUGUGGAUGCAUGGGAUGCUUCAUGGAUUUUGGAGACAAUUCUGUAAAAAAGUUGAUGGUCUAUAUAUAAUCCUUAAAAUAUCAUCCACAUUUUAUAUCUCAAUAUACUACCGGCAUCAGAGGAAGUGGGCAAGUGGAAGCCAAUCCAUCCUAAAAUUCUUUUCAUUGUGACAUAGGUAAGGUGUUUGUGUACUGACUAUUUUUUUUCUUAUAAUAUUAACGGACUAAAAAAAUAUAUUUUUUAAAAUUAUAUAAAAAAAAAAUGGUGUCCCAUUGUUGGAAACAAAUUAUUGCAUCCCAUCCUACCUUGUACUGCGGAAAAAUAUCUCUUUGGAAGAUAUUUUGUAAAUAUCUCCCAUUCAAGAUAUGCCUGAUGCGUCAUAAUCUAAUGGCUAAUACCAUUUCAACUAUUUUUUUUUUUAGUUUUUGACUUCCAAUUUUGAGGAAUCUAUAAUCAAAAGGUCUAUUUUAUAUCAUUAUUAAAAAUUAAAUUAAAUUAUAAAAUUUUAGAUGGAUUUUUAAACUAAUAUUGAUAACAUAUUAAAUGUUACAUUAAGAACAUAGGAUUUUAGGCCCAAGCAUGCUUAUUGGGUUUCAUUAUAUGAAGGACUGAUGGGCCGGGUCCACAUAUUUAAUUUGAACGUUUGAUAUCUUGAAAAUUGUUUUUUUUUUCAGAUAAUAAUAAAACCAGCCCAACGUAUUAGCUUCAUAGUGUAUGUACAUUUGAAUUAAUUUAAUAACAUCAUUGUAUUAUCCUUCUCUUUUAAUUAGUGGUAACAGUCUCGAAUUUUUUUUAAUAAAACGUAAAUUUUAUUAAAUUUCAAGAACAAUCAACUCAAAAAUUAAUACUUUUAAAAUUUAAGAGAUAAUUUAAUGCGCAUGAGUAUAAAUUAAUCUGACUAAUAAAUUACUACUUAGUGCUCACAAGUGAUAAUAUUAUUAUUUCCUUGUUCAAUUUUAAUAUAUGACUUAUGAUGAUCAGCUCUUACAAUAUCUGCUUGCUUUUUUACCCAACCAUUUAUAAUUUUAAAAUUUGACUAUGAUCAUUUUUUGCUUCUGAAAAAUUUGUGUCAAUAUCAUUAAUUAAUAAUUAGAUGUACUCAAGCAACCAACUUCAAUAAUAUAGUAGAAAAACACAAGAAAUAAAAGGUGUAAUUGAUGGGUUUUCAGGGAGCAAACACUGGUUUUCUUUUACGUUUUGGACCACCAAACCAGGCUUCUUCUCCUACUGCAACAAAUUCUUCACUGUUGAAGCACAGUCUCAGGGCCAGACUACACAGCUUUUUCAUUUUUUCCAACUUCAAAUUUUCAUUUUCUGAGCUGGUUAAUUAAUUUCGUCCGGCCGCCACCAUUCAUUUCAUGCUUCAGCAACUCUUAGUCACACAUUCCAUGUACUGUAUGUCCACAGUGUUUCCCAAGAAUGGUGUAUAUAUAUAUAUAUGUAUAUGAUGAGGGGAUAUUUGGAUGAUAAGCAACAAUGUUCCAUAUUGAAAAUGAAAGAGAGAGACAGUGAUGUUCAAGUUGGAGUCAGCCACUAUGCCUGUUGUUGAUAGAGAUAACGAAAUACUACCUACAUGCAAGUGGUUGUACAUGUGCAAGGCACAUGCUCUUCCUUGCUUCUUCUUCUUCUUCUUCUUAUUCUCUUCUGGCUUGUAUGUACCUUACUUACACAUGCUCUGCCCAUGGCUGUCCAUAGAUGCACAUGCAUGCUAGCUUCUUUCAUUUUAGUCACAUUUUACCCCUUUUUUGUUCAUGUGGAUGAAAAGAAGAUAUGUAUUCAGAUUUGAAAGAGACAGCCUUUUUGUCCUUAAAGUUUUAAUACAAAUGCAUCAUAUAUUCAUAGUAUUAUUAUCGUGUUCGCAUUGAAUCGUCAUAUAUUCAUAGUAUUAUCAUCUGUUAGCAUUGAAUCGAUUCGCUAAUUCAAUAAAUUAUCAAUAUCAUUUCAAAGAAAAGAGUGUCAAAUCUCUAAUACUCGUUAAUUUUUUACAUUAAUUUUUUAUAUUUAGUAAUUUAUUAAAAUAAACAUGACCAUUUCAUAUGAUUAAUUAAUAUUUUUUAAAAAUUUAUAAUUUUAAAUCCAACUGUAUUAAAUGAAUGAAUGUUUGAUAUUAUGAUUAUUUUUAUAUUUAAUUAUUAAAUAAAUGGCACAUAUGUUUUGCUUUGAAUAUAUUGAAAAGAAUUUGAUUUUAUGGCUAGAUGUAUAGUUGUUUACCAUAAAAAUUAAUAAUUUGAUUUUAAUAUAUUUUAUUUUAAUUAAACAACUUAAUUGUACAUUUAUUUCAAAAAUAAUUAUAGAACUUUCUAAAAUAUGGCAAGUGAUUGGCAAUUGCUAUACAAUAAUUCCAAAUAGUCUUAUCCUGUUUAAUUAAAUAGAAAAUAUGUAUAUUAUCCUAAAAUGUUAAAUCUUAAUUUGGUAUAUUAAUUAAAAACUUUUCAAUAAUACAAUAAAAUAUGCAAACAGCAAUACUCCAAUUUCAGAAUAAAUAAAAUAAAUAAACUUAUUUCAAGACUAAAUUAAUUAAAAAAAUUUAAUGCUUUGAAUAUUUAAAAGAAUAAAUAAUUUUUUAUAUGGGUAAGAGAGACGGAAAUAUAUAUAUAUAUAUAUAUAUAUAUAUANNNNNNNNNNNNNNNNNNNNNNNNNNNNNNNNNNNNNNNNNNNNNAUAUAUAUAUAUAUAUAUAUAUAUUAAUUAAUUUCCCAAUCCAAGAUUCAUGUUAGAGGUCAUAACAAGAGAAGGGACAAAAAUUAGAAAAGCCUUGAGGAAAAAAAAAAGAAAAAAAAGACAAAGCAGAGGAAAAUCAGUGCAAUAUAUAAUAAUAUUAUAAAGUCACUUGAAGAAAUAAUAAAGAUAAAAAGUGUAUUUGAAAUCUUGUCCUUGCUAACGCCGUACUACUUCUAUGAUUUUUUUUUCUUUUUAAAAUUUUUGUUUUUUCACUUUUCAAAAUCAAUCCACUGCACCCUCUAUCUUUAAUCUGAGAAACCCUACCCCUUCUUCUUCUUCUUCUUCUUCUUCAUUCCCUUUUCCAUCUUCUUCGCAUUUGAUUAUAUGGUGUUCAUGUGGCAUUACUGCGUCAGUGCUCCUGCCCACCAAGUGUUUGGCCUUUAACGACUCUUUUUCCCAAUCUGUUUUGUAUACCACCGUCAAGAUUGAGACUACACAUGCAAUUUGAGCGGCUAAAAGUCCAUAACAAAGACCCACGAACCCUAGUUCCCAAACAAAGCCUAAGUAAAUGGCCACUGGUGCCCCCACCAGGUAAAAUGAGUAGAAGUUUAUUCCUGCCCCAAUAACGGGCCUAGCACUUCCUCUUAAAAUCCCACAACUUGUGGUUUGUGGACAAUUCGCUAGCUCACAUACUCCAAUUAUGGGCAGAACAAUCAUACAUAACUCAAGAACUUGUUCAUCCUCUGUAAAAACUCUCCCCCAUGUUUCUCUUCCUAGUGUGGUUAAUACCAGCCCAAAUAAUGAGCUUAAUAGAGCUAGUCCUAUAGCAACUGCUGUAGCCAAACGUGCCUUAACUGGUCUUCCAGCUCCUAGCUCGUUGCCUACUCGUGUUGAGACCGAUGAGCUAAGCGCUGUAGGUAAGGUGUACAAGAGAGAUGUGGUCUGGAUUACUAUCGCUGAUGUAGCCAGAGCAACUCGAGGUUUCGAUAAGUAUCCGGCCGCAAUUGUCAUGAACUCAUACCACCACCACUCUAAACAAACAGCCACACAACUCGGAACAGCCAGUCGAAUUAGAAUCCCCCAUUCCCUUACUCCCAGUGAAGGAGGAAGCUGCGGUAGUGGUGAUAGUGGUGUGUACAAAGGCUCCUCAGGGACACGAGUGAAAUACAUGUAACAUAAUAGGUAUAAGAGAGUGUUAAAAUUAGAGAUAAAAGUUGAAAUUGCAAUUCCAGGGACCCCAAGACGAAGAGUGAAGGCUAGGAAUAUGGUGAUUGGGAGGUGUAGAACAAUGGACACCGAAGUGCAGCACAUUAAUGGCCAUGUAGUCCCUUUACUACGUAAAUAAAUGCGUAGAGGGUGUAGGAGGCUAUUAGCAACAAGAUCUGGGAUGCAAAACCGGCAAUAUAAACUCGCAAGUCUGGUUAUUUCAGGAUCUUGAUGAAGAGCAAGCAUGAGAGGUUCAAGAUUCAACCAUAACAAGCCAAUAGGCAAAGAAACCACGAGUAACAUCAGAAUUGUUCUUUGCAAAGUCAUUGAUGCUACUGACAAAUUCCUCGACCCAAAAGCUUGGCUGCAAAGUGGCUCCAUCCCCAUGGCCAAACCUGAUAAGACUGAGUAGCCGGUGAUGUUGGUGAAACCAAUAGCUAAGGCACCUCCGGCGAGCUCCAGACUUCCUAGCCUUCCCAUGCACGCAACUAAAAUCAUGUUUUUCAGAUAACCCACCAAGCUCAUAGCAGCUAUUGGGAAGCCGAUAUCUGCCAUUUUCUUUAGCUCAUCCACCACCUGCCAAAACAAAGGAGAAAAAUCAGCGUGGACUGAGAAAUUUAGGAGCAGUGAGAAGAGUUUGCAGUUGAAUUUAAGAAAAGUAUACCUCUGGCAUUGUCGGGUAGUUUUGGGAGUUCUCUAUAGAAAGCAUCUUUAAUCCUUUUCAGUGCUGCAAGUUUUGAGAGUUAGCAGAGAGGAAGGAGUGAAGAGAUAUAUAUUUAUAGGUAAGAAGGUGGUGGGAGGAUUUUAGUUAGUUGUUGAGUGUUGGGAUGACAGCACUGUGCCCAGGAGAGUGGUGGGAGCGUACAGAGUGUCCAAUUGCAAAGAUACAGCAAAUCAACCUUAUUUUGGAAAAUUCUUUCAUCCAUCGACCGCCAGUAACUAUUCAUCUACUGUCAUGUAUUAAAAAUAUUGUGAGACUUAUAUAUUAAUUUAAAAUUUUAAUUUUUCAGAUCUGUAUAAAAAUUUUCUAUUAUUUCAACCGUGUCCAAUGCUGUAUUAGUCUUCUCCAUACCAUACUGAUCAAAUUACAUUUUGUUAUUUUCCAAAUUUAGCCCAACAUAUCCACUUACAAUUUGGAAUUCAUCAUAUCCUCAACUGAGAAUAAAUAAAUAAAUAAAUAAAACCCAUAAUUUUUCAUUUUAGUGCGAAAAAUCUAACUCAAAAUUUCACUUCUAACUGAAAAUAAGCAAAGCAGAAAAUAGAAGAAAGUUUUUUUUUUUUUUUAAAAAAAAACACNNNNNNNNNNNNNNNNNNNNNNNNNNNNNNNNNNNNNNNNNNNNNNNNNNNNNNNNNNNNNNNNNNNNNNNNNNNNNNNNNNNNNNNNNNNNNNNNNNNNNNNNNNNNNNNNNNNNNNNNNNNNNNNNNNNNNNNNNNNNNNNNNNNNNNNNNNNNNNNNNNNNNNNNNNNNNNNNNNNNNNNNNNNNNNNNNNNNNNNNNNNNNNNNAAAAAAAAAAAAAAAAAAAAAAGGAGAGAGAGAGUUAAGUGGAUCUUGUUAUCUUUAAAGCCUCAUGCGUAUGUAAUUUAAGCACAAAAUAAUUUAUAAAUUUUAAUACUUUUUAUUGGAAUUUUAUUAUUUUAAUCAUUAAAUUAAUGAAAAGCACAAUAAGGCAACUCCAGUUUAAUAGGCAACUCAAUCUGUCAGCCUUUAUAAUGCUUUUCUAAAUUAAGAAAUAUAAAAUUAAAAAACCUCUGUCAAUUGUCAAAAUACAACAAGUUUUGUUGUACUUUGACGCACCGCAUCUCAUCCAUGAUAUAAUUUCUGGCUGUAUCAUUAGGGAGUGAGAAUUGAAAAUUGUAAAAAAAUAUAUAUAUAACAAAUUAAAACUAAUUCAAAUAGGACAAAAAUAAAUCCAACUAUUUUAAUUUAUGGGUUUAGACUAUGGUUUAUUUUUUAAUUUUAAUUAUAUUUUUAACUCUACUUUCAGAAAUUAAUAACAAUUGGUUGAAAAAUGAAAUUUUGAUUCAUCAAUUUUUUCUAGAAUUUGAAUUCAACUGAUUAGAUUAAAUAAUUUAAUUUUUUAAAAAAUGAAAAUUUUAAAUUAAUUUAAUUUAAUUAUUUUUAAUAUAAGCUCCAUUGAUUAUAGAAAAUACUUUUCAAUAAAACUUUAAAUAUUAUUACUAAGCAAGAUAAUAUCUUCUAAUUCUGUGAUGCCAAGCUUUAAUUUCCAUUGAAUCCAAAAGGGUAAAAUAUAUAAAUCAACAUUAACCGUGAAAUUAAAUUAUAUGUUGGUGUCACGCAUACAUGGGAACCAUGCAUGUGCAUCUCUUCUUCCUUCAAAUUGAAUAAAUCUUUUCGAAAAUUAUUACACCCACUUCCUAUGAAUAAAUAAUGUUGUCUAUCAAUUCCAUUUCAAAUCACACUUUUAUAUAUCAUUUUCAACUAUCAUGCCCUAAAAUGUGAAAAUAAACAUAUACCAUUCUAAAUUUCAAGAUGAUACCAUAUUUCUCCCUAUAUAAAUUAUUUAAUAUAAUUUAUUUUUAUUAAAAAAUAUUUUUUAAAUAUAAAUUAUUUUUCAUAAAUAAAUGGGCACUUUUUUUUUUAAUAACAAGAAAAUUUCAUUAAUUCAAAGAGAACAAAGAAACAAUAUGAGGAGGACGGAUAUCAAUCCAAACUCCUUGACCUGACUCAGAAUGAGCCGAUAUUGGUAGAACAUGAGCGACAUCAUUCGCAGAUCUAUAAACAAAAACACACUUUGCUUCCUCAUAACUAGAUAGAAGCAGUUUACAAUCUUAAACCAAAAGGCCAAAAAACGAUAAAUCAUCUAACAAAACACAAUUAACUGACAUCACAAGUAUCUGAGCAUCCAAUUCGAAAAGAACUCGAUUCGAUCCAUACUCUUAAGUAUCAUAUAAAUAAGAUUUGGUAUACAAUAACGGUAGUUAGGGAGAAAUGAAACAUUAUCCAAUGGUGAGAUCUUAAACGUUCUUUUUUUGGAGUUUUGGGACAUGAAAAAUGCCGUGGUUUUGGGGCCAAAGGCACAGGCUCUUGUAUGUAAGAAUUCCCAACACAUUAAGCCACCCUUCUCGCUUCUUCCCCAACGCGUGACAAAUUAAUAGUACUGCCAGUCGGCUAUGCUCCAAUAUUAAAAUAUCUAUUUACUAUUAAAAUAAUUAAUAUUAUCGAAUAAAAUUUAAAUCAUGAUUUAGUGAAUUUUAAAAAUGUAACUAAAAUUUUAUUGUAUUAUUUAUUUAUUCAUCAAAUAUAUCAUUAAGUAUGAAAUAUUUAUCGUAUAUAAUAGUAAUUUUUUAAAUAUAAAAUUUAUAUACGUAAAUAUCUAUAAAAAGAAAUAAAAUUUAAAAAUCAAUCAUAAUAUAAGAAAUAUAAGUCAAAUGUGAAGCACAACAAAUGGAUUUAGUGAAUCUUAUAGUCUAAUUAUUAAAAGCCUUUAGUGAGGUGAUCCCAUGACCUUGAAAUUAUUUCCAGCUACUAGAUCAUGUUCAUGUAUUGCACUCAAAGCCUUUUUUGUUCUACUUAGUCAACAAUUUUUGCUUUAUUUUAAACCCUAAUCAUGAUAGCUAUCCCCCUAGAAUUGGAAAUUCAUAGUGGAGAGAAUCAACUUAAAACAGAUUUGUCCACAUUAUUUGGUCAUCUUUAUCCACCUAGUGCUAAUUAAUAGAGGUAGAUAUUCAAAAGGCAAAAAUUGGUGGCUGUCAAAACCUUGUAGAAAAAGAGAGCGUGCUUGCAACAAUAAUAUAUACACAAAUACAAGUGCAAAUCAUGUUAGCUUUUGUGGGUAGUGACACAUUCAUAAGCUUACUUCAAUGGCAAGUAAAUUAAGUUUAAUUUUGAAAGUUCUCAAAUUCAAAAAAAAAAAAAAAAUCAAUGAAUAGUGCCAUUACUAGAGGCAGAUCUUCAAGUAAAAGGCAAAGACUAGAUUGUGCAAAAAUAUUUUAGACAAAAUAACUUAAUUGAAAUAAUAAUAUAUACAUAAAUCCCACAUCGAUUUUUUUUCAAAUCAUGUUGCUUUAUCGAUAGCGUUAUCCUCAUGGGCUUAUUUCAGCCUAAUAAGAAUAUUUAAGUGCUUUGAGGACUUUUCGGUCACUUUAAGUACAUUCGAAAAUUAGAUUGAUUUAAUAGCAUUCUCAUUCACUGGUAUGUAUAAAUCUCUCUAGCAGAACACCAAUUCCAUCGAAAAAUUGAGAUAGACACUAAAUCUUAAAUAUAGGUAAUUGAAUUUUUUAUUACUUAUUAUUCUAAUUUGAAUCCGUACUUUGGCAGCAAACAAAGAGGAGGAUUGACCCAAACUGUAAGCAAUUAAUAGUUUUCAAUCUAAUUUGAUACGCGCUAUUUAAUUUCUUUGAAGAAUCAGAAUUGGUGUAGAAAAAUAAAUAGUAAUUGAUUUACUAUGAUCUGCUUUUUAAAUGACAUGAAAGACGGCUUAUUGCAAAUAAAUUAAGUUGAAUUUUGAAUGGUAUUAUGUUAAAAAAAAGAAAGUCAUGGAUAAUGCCCAUUACUAGAGGCAGAUCUUCAAAGGCAUAAUUUGAAUUGUGCCAAAACCUUCUAGAUAAAAUAAGGUGCUUGCAAGAAUAUUUAAGUGACAGGUUGGAGAUUUGUUAUCAUGGGUUUUCUUUUUCUUCUGCUGUUUCACCACUGUUUUAUAGAGACAUAAAAUUAUUUUUUGAGUUUUCAUUUAAUUUAUGAAUUUUAAUUAAAAGGUUUAUAUUUAAAUCUCGACAGUUUUCGUCAGUGGAAAAAUAAAAUUAUUUAAUUGUUCUAAACUAUAUAGGAAUCGUAAGAUCCUCUUUAAACAAAUCUCACGUUUGGUCUUUUCAAUACGAAAUUGGACAGCAACUAUUGACAGCUCCUAUUCAAAAGGUCAUUAAUGAUUUAGGCAAUGUGAUUUCUCUUUGACACGAAGCCAAAGUAUGAUCCUAUUUCAAGCAGCUACAGCAAUAGCUUUUAGGCCAAGAUAAACUUCAAGGAAUCAUGCUCUUUUUAUGUAUAUAUAUAAAACACCAUAAAUAGCUGAACCUUUAAGAAGAAAUUAACACGUGAAAAAAAAAAGAAAUAAUAAUAAAUAAUGAUAAUCACGUGGAAGAAUUUGGUUGCGGGGCACAUCAACAUGUGAACCCUAUUCUAAAAUAUCAAAGACCCAACUUCUCCCACUUGCAUGGAAUCCAAUAAGAAGAAUAUAGAAAUUAACCUUUAUUUUUAUAUUAAAAGACACAAUUCUUUUCCUAGUUUUAUUUUCUAUACAUGACCUAACUUGGCUAUCCACAUAGAAAACUAGCUACCUCACAUGGAUUUCAUUAAUUAACAAGUCUCACUCUCUCUCUCUCUCUAUAUAUAUAUAUUUAUGCGACCAUACACAAAGAAAAUUAGGUAAACAUAUGAGAUAAUGUAAUAAUUUAUAAUUUUUUUCUACAAUAAAACAUUAAUUAAGACAAUUAAUUGAUAAUUAGUGCUUAUAUUAGGUCAAUUAUCAUGGUGUAAAUAAUUGUAAUAGCUAUAAUAUACUGUGAUGUUAGGUUAGGUAUUCACUGAUUGAUAUUUAUAUUAUAAUACAAUAAAUAAUUAGGUUACUGUUUUUCCUCGUGUAAAAGAAAAGUUGCCCAUAUCUUAAAAAUAUCACUUUAUCUUAUAGCCAAUUAUAACAGGUGCAUUUAAUAUAAAUCUGACUUAAUUAUAUUAAAUAUUUUAUCAAGAAAAAAUAUAUAAUUUUUUUACUAGUUUGUUCUUUGCCUGAUAGAAAAUAAUUAUAAGUAUUCAGUUAUAUAUGUUCAGUCAACCUGAAAUUAUUAUAUAUAUAAAUUAUAUUCAAUUUUUUCAGUUUUUUUUCUUCAAUAAUCGUCUUUCUUUUUGCUACCUCUAUGUUGCUGUCCUGUGCUCUUUCUAAAUAGGGGAUAGUUUAUCCUUCCUUCUACUUAGAGAAUAGAUUUUACUUCCUUCCCACCCGUAAGUAGGAUUUUGUGUAUAAAUAAUUGAUUUUUUUUUUAUUGAAUUACAAAUCUGUAGGAUUUUGUGUAUAAAUAAUUGACUAUUUUUAUUAGAUUGCAGAUCCAUACUUUUUUAUGGGAGGAAUUUUUGAAUCUAUUUUGUUCUUUGUUUUUCUUUGUGCUUUGUGCUCUUAUUGCAUGUAAGUGAUCCAAUUCGUCCUCAUAGAUGCAUUUGCAUUUUCUCCAAGCGAGAAGAAAAGACUAAGAUUUUAACGAUGAUUGUUUUUUCAAGACUCAUGUUUUUUUCCUUUACUUUUUAUCCUUCUUCGUCUGUGGUACUUUAAAGAGAUAGAUCUAUUUAUAUUGAUUGUGAAAAAGAGUUUUAAGUUUUCUACUUUUGCCGACAAUCUUGGGGAUUUCUGCCCUUUCUAAUUUGUUUAUUAGAAGGUUGAUUUAAGGCUUAGAGUGUCGAGGAGCCCUUCUCAGUGGACCCUUCACAGUUUGGAUGAAGUUCUAGCUACAUUUCGGUUCUACUCUUAGGUUCUUUAGUCCUUCGACAGGUGAGGAAGCCGCUUCUUGGAUUGUAUGAGCUUUAGCUUGUCUCCUCCUCUAUUUGGUGGCAACCAUCUUAACUCUUUCUUUGACGUUUAGCCUUAAAGUGAGAAAAUUAUUUUACGUUUAGCCUCAAAGUGAGAAAAUUAUUUUGCCCUCUCCUAUAGUUAAGGUUUCAGGUUUCAGGUUUCUUUGGAUUUAUGAACUUAGUUUUGAGCUUGCGUUUGGACUUUUUAUUAGGUUUGUACCUUAAAACUUCUGUUUUGUAACUGGAUGUUUAUAUUUUGAGCUCUCAAAAUCUCUUGUUGAAUAUCAUUCUUUAUAAAAAAAAAAAAGAAAAAUAAAUUUGGAUUGAUCGUAUAUAAUUUCCAAAGUGAUAUUGCAUGGCAUUGACUUCUAAAAGAAAAACAAUGGGACUCUCAAUUUACACCCAAGUCUAUUUGUUAAGGCAAUUUGAAUCAUUUGGCACUGACUCAUUAGUGAUGAGUAAUGCGCCUACUAAUUAAUGAUUCUUGAAUCUUUCUAUUGGGCUCAACUGUGUAAAGCAAAAAGUUCAAUUAAGAAUCCAAACUCGAUCUGUUAAGCAAGAUUCUCAUGCCAAACCAGCUGGGCUUCUAAUCUUUAUAAUUAGAGAUCCAUAUAUGUCGACUUGUUAGCUUUGAUAAAAUAAAAAAAACAAACAAAAAAGACUUUUUAGGAUAAAAAAGCACAUUUAAAUAUUAUUAAAAAAUUAUUUUAAUUAUUUUAGGUUUUUGUUAUUUUAAAUAUUUUAUAGCUAAUAUAUUUAAGAUCAUAUUUAUUUACCAUUAUAACGAGUAAAUAAUUUAUUUUAAUUAAAAUUAAGCCAUGUAGAUUAAUUUAUUUACAAAUUUAUCUUUCUCUUUAUUUUUAAAAAAUAAUUUAUAUUUAAAAAUAUUUUGCAGUAAAAAAUAUUGUUUAAUAAAAUAAUUUAUUUUUUAUUGUUUAAUUUUAAUAAAAAAAUAUAUUAAUAAAUUUAUCUAUAAAAUUUUAAUAAAAUAUUUAAAAUGUGUAAAAUAUUUGUUUCCCUUUUUAAGAGAUGAAAUUAUUUUUUUAAAAGAAUUUAUUUUCUUUAAAUAGAAAAAAAUAUUUUCAUAAAAUAAAACGGAGCGUUAACGUGAGAUUAUUUUAUUAUAAUGAUUCUUUGAUUUUUAUCGCCACCAACUCACCUCCCCGUCGCCAUGCUUAGCAUCAAAGAUACAGGAUUUGGUUUUAUUUGUUUAAUGGUGCAUUCUCCAAUACUGUUCACAACGCUCAAAACUCCCCUCGCCUUGUUUCUCUUUUUUUAAUUAUUUUUUUAAAGUUUAAACCAAUUGCUGUUUAAAUUUUAAAUAAUAAUUUAACUUUAUUCACAUAAGACGAACCUAUAAAAAAAUUAUUUUAAAUUUUAAAAAUACUAAAUCUCUAUCAUUUAAUUUCAUUUACUAAAAAAAUAAAAAAAAAAGUCUGUUUUUUAUUUUUGACGUGAUAUAUGUAUAGCGGUAUUGGUAUAUUAGUUGGAUGGUAUUCCAUCGGUCAAUGGAAUGAAAUUGAAGGCUGUCCAAAUUUUUUGUUUAAAUUUGAGGUGUGUUAUUGGAUUGGAUUUUAGUUCUAUUAGUUUGGGAGUAUAUACUUAAUUUCUUUAUUUUCACAAAUAUUUUGAGUUUUGUCCGCUGAACAUUUAAUGCAAUUCUACAAUUGCAUAAUAAAAAAACUCAUCUAUUUGAAUAACAUCUCAAUGUUUUUAAGAGUUUUUUUUAUCAUUUAUUCAAAAUAAAUCAAAGUAUAAAAAUAAUUAUUAAAUUAACAAAUUUAACUAUUUCUAAUAUUUAAUUAUUAAAUUUAAAAUUAUAAAAAUACUGAAAAUAUAUUAUUUAAAUUAAUAAUACACUUGCUUAUCCAAAUGGUUGAUUAGCUUCAACCUUCAAGUGAUGUGGCAUUGGCACGCAGUUUAACGUACCUUCACGAUUCUUUCUUCUUCGUUAUUCCGGUGAUCCACUACCACGAUGAUCGCUCGGAGGAUUUCGCUCAAACAGCGGCUUUCCACCUCCGCCACGCGCUUUCUAUUUCCCUCUACUCACAAAGCUUCGUCUCCGUUGUCGCCUUCUCUGGUCACGGAGCUCGGACAUCCAUCUCUAGGUGUUUUUUUCCUGCGGCGCUUCUGUAGCAACGCUUCGGAAUCGUUUCAAUCGAUUACUAACUCUAUUGACGUGAACCUCUGCUUCUUCUUUUGCAAAUCAAGCUCAGUUUUUUGCUUUGAAUAUUUGUUUUUGUUUAUAUGAAUAGAUUAUCAAAUUUAUCUUUGGAAUGUUGAUUUUUUUUUUUUUUGGGUUUUCACCGGAAUUUUUCCAGAGUAGAAUUCGAUGUAAGGUGAAUAAAUGUUGCUUUUCGACUCAUGCUUUGGCGGAUCUUCCAGUGGGCGGGAUAGUUGAUGUGCCUUUAGCUCAAACUGGUGAAGGCAUCGCUGAAUGCGAACUUCUCAAAUGGUUCGUGCGUCAGGCGAGUGAUUUAUGCUUUCUCUAUCUCUCUCUUUUCAUGUUAUUUUCACUAAUUAAAUGUUUGUUUAGUGAUUGGUUGAAAUUGUCCACUUCAAGUUUGGCCGUCUUCACAAAUUGGGAUAUUUGCUUUAAAAACAAAUGUUUAUGUGGAUUAAUGAAAUUUCAGUGUCUUCCAAGUUGUUCAUGAAACUUGAAGUGAAUUUCUGUUACACAAUCUGUAUGCGCUCAAUUAUGUCCCAUAAACAACGGGAACGAAUGUUGAUACCGUGCUUUUUGCAGGGGGAUGAAGUUGAGGAAUUUCAACCAUUAUGCGAGGUUCAGAGUGACAAAGCAACUAUUGAAAUAACAAGUCGUUACAAGGGGAAAGUAGCUCAAAUUCUCUCUGUUCCUGGAGAUGUUGUAAAGGUGAGAAUCUAAAUUUGAAACUUAUGCAUGUUAGACUUCACCUCUUUCAUUUACAUGUCUGAUGUUGGAAAUGUGGCUUUUGGCUGUGAGAAAGACUGGUUAGUUCUAUAUGUGGGAUUAGCAACAUUCCAACAAGUGGGAGACGUGAUUUAGGAUUUUUUUUUUCUUUUUGAAUUUAAUCUAAACCAGUCAAACCAGAUGAAUUUAGGAAAUAUAGGUUUGAGAGCUGAAGCCUCCUUUCUAAUAAAGGGAAAUGGGUUUUUUGAAAAAGUUAUUCAACAUUUACCCAAAAUUAUUGCGGCAAAUAAAAAAAAAGUUUGCCAUUCACUUUAAAAUUUUGCAACUCCUGAAAAAUGUAGCAUGCUUUCGUUAACUAUUAGACAAUGAAAAUAAUAUAGGGUGUAAGAAAGUUGAAAUAGGUUGGAAUUGGAAAGGGAAGAAGAUCAAUAUACUUUUGGUUAAUAUAUAUGCUGUCUGAAUAAAAGUCAAUAUUACUGUAGGUUGGAGAAACUCUUCUAAAAAUCAUUGUUGAGGAAUGUCAAGCUCCCAUACAGAUGCAUGAUGGUUCUGAAGAUAAAAAGUCAGUUGAUCCCAAGCUGGAAAAAAUUCAUAUUGGUGGAGUUCUCUCCACACCAGCUGUGCGGAACCUUGCAAAGCAGUAUAAUAUAAAUUUAAAUGAUGUCCAUGGAACUGGGAAAGAUGGAAGGAUAUUAAAGGAAGAUGUACUUAAAUAUGGCAUUCAGAAGGGAGUAAUUGAAGAAUCACCUGGAACUGUGAGAGCUGAUUCUGGGAACCAGUUUCUGGGGGAAAAAGAGAAAUACUCAGAUGCAUCAGCUGAAAUAAGACCACUUCAUGAGGACAAGAUAGUUCCACUAAGGUAAUAUUAGAUACAAACAUAAUCUUGGAUGCCAUGAAAUUAUCAUUUAGGUGGACCUCUAGACUGCGUUUAUGAACAAUAGUAUGAUACCCAGUUCUAUGCAUCUAAUUUUGUUAAUGCCUAUGGAGAUAGCAUGGUGGAGUUCCCCCAGAUCCUAAAUCUUUAGUCAUAAAAUCUCAAACUUCAUUAUAGAAUUACUAACUAAUAUUGUAAAUCCUUAGCCCUUUUGGUGCAUAAGUCCAAAUAUAUAUAUAUAUAUAUUUUGCCAAUAAGAAGUCCAUAUAUUUUAAUGUCCCUCUUACUAAAAGCCUAAUAACUUCAUCAUACAAUGCAUUUUUUUUAUGAAGUCAAAAGCGUUUAUAAAACAGUCCCCCUUCCCAUUUGUUCUUGUAUGAUUUAUGAUAAUAAUUUUGUUAUCUUUUCAUUCAGCAAUUUUUUUUUAUUAAUUUUGAGUAUAAUGCAUUCUCGUAGAAUAGACUUGCUAAUAUCCUAACCUUUUUAAAGUUAACAAGUUAAAUUUGUUAUAUUCUUUCAGGGGUUUCCAACGGACCAUGGUGAAGACAAUGUCCAUGGCUGCAAGAGUUCCACAUUUUCAUUAUGUAGAAGAGAUUAAUUGCAACACACUAGUGGAGCUUAAAGCAUCUUUCCAGAAUAAUAAUCCUGAUCCAGGCGUCAAGCACACUUUCCUUCCAUUAUUGAUAAAGUCACUUUCAAUGGCCCUCAACAAAUAUCCGUGGCUGAAUAGUUCCUUCAAUGAGGAAACAGUAGAGGUGAUCCUAAAAGGUUUGUUGAUUUUAUUCUGCCAAGUAGUUGCUAGUACAUAGUUUAUAGGCUAUGUUGUGCUUCUAAUGAAUAAUCUUUAUUAAAUGAUAAAAAGCAACCCAUAAGUUUUAGAAUAGGUGUGCAACAUACCAGCAUUAUAAUUCUGGUUUCUAAAGCACGUAGCAUCAAGUAACUAGAACUUGGAAUUGUGGAGAUUUACACAAGAUCUCUGGAGGUCUAGUCUAUCUGGAAAUUGGCGUUGCAGUCAACAAAGCGUUUGAAAUGUCCAUAGACAGGAGCAUUUCGUGCUAUAGAGAUUAUAACAAUGCACAAUCUGGAUUACUUGUAAAAACGUUGGAUAUUUCCAUGAAUAAAGAUACAUAUCUGGAAUCUUCUCAUUUGAGUUUCUUGCUACACGUUAUAUGGGCAGAUGGAUGCUUAUAUGUGUUAUAUAUAUAUGUGUGUGUGUGUGUGUGUUUCCAAUAAAUGGAAGUUUUAGUAAUUUGAUGUCAAAUGUUGAUAACAAUUUACAGACUUGUAUGUUGGUGUCACUUGUAUCAUGUUUAAUAAAUCUUUAAUCAAUGCUAUUAUUCCUCCUUUCUCCUGUCUUCUUCCUAACAGGAGUUAUUAUUGAAUAUUAUAGGUUCCCACAAUAUAGGAAUUGCCAUGGCUACUCCACAUGGUCUGGUUGUGCCCAACAUAAAAGAUGUUCAGUCUCUUUCCAUCUUGGAGGUAAGUUAAGCGUCACUUUUCAUCUGUGUUAUAUGCCAAAACUAUUUAUGAGUUAUUUAAGUACAACAGAAUAGAUAUUCUGGAGUUUGGAAUUGGUCCUUGCACAUUGUCAAGAAAAAGCAUAAAUUGAAAUAUCAUGGAAUAUGAUCUUUUCACUUACAAUUGUUGCCUAAAGCCAAUGCAUAUGAAAUGCUCUAUUUGACCAUCAUUUUUCAGAAUGCAACAACAUAAAUAGUGCAAAUGUAGUUUGAAACUAGUUUGGAAGUUGCAACUUAUAAUGUGUUAGACCGUAAGCGAGCACAAGGAUGACGAGAUGGCUAAUCAUUUGAUGAGUCUUAGUUAAUUUUUUAUGCAUACUUUUGAGGUUACUUCGCAUAAGUACUACAUUAUUUUAUUUCCGCAUCUACUGACGUUCAAGAAAAAUGUGCAUUUGUAUAUUUAGAUAACGAAGGAAUUGGCAAGGUUACAACAAUUGGCAUCAGAAAAUAAGCUUAACCCUGAGGAUAUAACUGGUGGAACAAUAACUCUAAGCAAUGUCGGAGCAAUUGGUGGGAAGUUUGGUGCCCCUAUCCUCAACUUGCCUGAAGUUGCCAUUAUUGCCAUUGGUCGAAUUCAGAAGGUUCCACAGUUUGCAGAUGAUGGGAAUGUAUAUCCUGCAUCAAUCAUGACUGUAAGUUACACAUCUUUCUUAUUUUCAGUUGCAUUUUAUGUGUCUUGAUAUAUAGAUCAUACUGUGUUCAUCACCGAAUGAGCUUAUAGUUAAUUUGGAUGACGCGCCCGUGUCUAACACGGUAUUUAACUUUCUGCAGGUAAAUGUUGGUGCAGACCAUAGAGUUUUGGAUGGCGCAACAGUUGCAAAAUUUUGCACUGAGUGGAAACAAUUGAUUGAAAAACCAGAAUUACUGAUGUUGUAUUUGAGAUGAUAGGUUUUCAUUUCACAGCCUCCUCUUUACUGUACAGUUAUUCAAAGCGAAGCAGAUGAGAGAACCAUUUUGUUGGGAAACUUCUAUCAAGUGCCAAAUUGCCAAUAAGAUUUAAAAUAAUGAAUAGCAAAAAUACUUGGGACGGGUUAAAAUGUAAUAAUAUAUAAAUAUGGCAUGUGCAAUGUUUCCUACAUUAUUUAUUCCUUGUGCUCCUUUAGUUUGUAACAAUUUUAUUUCAAACUUGAAUUAAUAAUUGUAAGUUUUCAUUUGUGCAUUCGCUUUAUCCUCGGUGAAUUCAUGAAAUGGCAUUUUAGGAUUGAGGAUAUGUUUGGUGUUGACUAUGCUUUUUUUUUUUUUUUUUUUNNNNNNAUUGUUUUUAUUCAAUUUUUUUUAUAUAUUUUAAAACCGGAAAACAAAUUGUUGCAAGCCAUAAAAACUAAAUCUUUUAGUUUCAUGACAUACUUUAACAACAAAAAAAAAAAUCUAUUACAUUGGAUAAGAUGGUCUAAAAAUAAUAUGAUUACCAGACAACCCUUUUAAUAUAUGAGUCAGAAAUUUUUAAUUGAAUUUCUUGAGAAGUUUUAGAAAAUAUGAAUUAAAAGCCUUUUCAUUUGAAUUCUUUUCACAAAUAUAAAAAUAAAAAAAAAUGAGGCACUCUAUAUUAAAUGAGAAUGGAUUUACUAAUUAUUAGAUCAACUAUUUUUACGUAUAAAUUUAUAUACAAUUUAUUCAAAAUUUAAUUAAUUUGAUAUAAAUCUUAAUGUAAAUAUUUGAUUACUUAUUAUUAAAUUUCUUUCAUGUAAAAUUCAGCUUAAAUUCCAGCUAGUCGGUUCCUUUUUUUCAAUAACUGAUUUAUUUGGAAAGAAUGAAAAUUAGUGCUUCAUAAUGUAAAGUCAAAGCCUCAAAGGAACUAACCCGCAUUUCGAAGAACGAAAGAAGGAACAGAAAUGGCGACGGCAUCAUCAGGCAUCCAAAAGCUCCUGCAAGUUGGGACAAAGAUUGUCGCCGUUGGCCGUAACUACGCCGCUCACGCCAAAGAACUUGGCAACGCUGUUCCUAAGGUGAUGAUUGGUUCUAUAUAUUCUUGUUCAGAUCUUAAUAAUCAAUUCAAAUUGCAAUUUUCAAACUUGAGCCAUCUUCAGGAGCCGGUUUUGUUUCUCAAACCCACGUCGUCUUACUUGGAGAAUGGAGGGAAUAUCGAGAUUCCCCAUCCCUUGGAGUCGCUGGAUCAUGAAGUGGAGCUCGCCGUCGUGAUCAACAAGAAAGCUCGCGAUGUGCCCCAGACCAUCGCCAUGGAUUACGUUGGAGGUACUUGCUGUUACUGGUGAUUGAUUAUUGACAAGAGGAAGCUGUUUUUAUUUUUUCCUUUUCUUUUCAUAUGAGAAAAUUGAUGAGACUGCAGUAGACAUAACUGGUCGAUUUUGGAUUUUAGGUUAUGCUCUUGCCUUGGAUAUGACUGCUAGGGAAAUCCAAGCUUCUGCCAAGGUAAAAUUUCUAUCCUCUGUCUAUAAGCUAAUUGGUGUAGGACUUGUUAGUUUCGAGAUAUGGGAUCAUUUUAAGGAGUAAACAUUAUGACAUUCUUUGCUAGAUCAAUUUAUUUGAAUGAUUUGGGGUUGUACGCGUCAUCAUCAUCUUGAAGUCGAGUAUUAUGUCAAACAUUUGUAAAAAAGUCAUUUGUCUUUUCUUUGUGUUAAUUAUUUUUAGUUUGCACUUGAUGAAAUUUAUUUUCUAAUAAUAAUAAUAAUGCGACAUCUCUCUCUCUCUCUCUCUAUUGGUUAUUUUAUGCGAGUAUUUCAGAAUUUUGCAUGCAAUGGAUACUUCUUUCUUUCUGAUUAAUGCCUUUUCAUUUUAAUAUUUUUCAGUCUGCAGGACUUCCAUGGUCUGUGGCUAAAGGGCAGGAUACAUUCACACCUAUUAGUUCUGUUGUAAGAAACGAACUGAGAUUCCUUUUUAUUAAUCUCUAUUGUUAAAGCAUGCCAACAGCAAACGAAUUUUGAAAAAAAUAAUAACUAGAAUAGUUUUGGAAUUCCAAGGCUUAUUUCCAACACUAACUGAAUUUGGGAUUGCGAUGGGUGGUGACUGAGUCAUGCAAGAUAACCUUCAGGCAUAUUCACUUCUGCUUUUCUUUUCUCGUCUUUUGUAGUUUUGAGUUUUGCGCUUAACAAUCAUAUCUGAUUUUGAUAAAGGAUCGUAUCUAAGAUUUAUCUUGUUCUUUAUUUGUAUGUGCUAUCAUUCACGGUAUUGUUUAUCAUGCUCCAAAUUUUGAUUCUGCAAACAUUUGUUGCAGCUUCCCAAGUCAGCUGUGCCUGACCCUGACAACUUGGAACUGUGGUUAAAGGUGUCAAAAUCAUCUCUUUCUGUACUUAAUUCUUUGCAUUUUCAUUUUGAAUGGGAUUUUCAAAUUGAUGAGGUUGAAUGGAUAUCUUCUUCCAUAGGUAGAUGGAGAUAUAAGACAGAAAGGUUCCACCAAAGAUAUGAUUUUUAAGAUUCCUUAUCUCAUUAGUCACAUAAGUUCAAUCAUGACACUCUUUGAAGGAGAUGUUAUAUUGACAGGUACCAUGCUGAACUCUCCUGAUUCAUUUUUUAGUUUUUGAUAUUUAAUGACCAUUUAUGGUCAUAUAUAGCUUUCUUUACUUUGAUGUUGGAUAAUAGCAGUGGAAUCCUCUUUCGCAUUGAAAUUUACUUGCACUUAGCAAGCUUUUCGAUGGAAGUUAUUUGCCUGUUCUGAGUAGUUAAUUGUUAAUCGUAGACACUUGUGAAUUGAGAUAGGUAAAUGUCAUGUUUUUGUUGGCUUGAAAUCCUUUUGCACAGGCACUCCACAAGGUGUUGGCCCCGUGAAAGUAGGUCAAAAGAUAACUGCUGGGAUCACAGAUCUUAUUGAUGUUCACUUUAAUGUCGAAAACCGCAGAAGGCCAGGAAGUUAUUAAGCAAGGGGAUUUUUCUUUCAAUUUCUGACUUCAGUAUAAUGGCCUUGCUUUCCAGAGUCACCCAAGCUGUGAUACAUAAGCGAUGAACUAUGUAUUUUAUAAUGAAAUUGGAUUUCUAGCAUAGAAGCAUGGAGCUUGGUGUUGACAAACCUUUUGGAAUGAAGUAAUAAUGAUUUUAUGAACACAGUUACGGCCUUGACAUAUGUUUACCGACUACAAAGAGGCUUUACAGGAGAAGCACACUUAAAAAUUAAUUUCACACCACAGGAAAAUGCAAAAUCAAGCUCUCCAACAUAUACACGCUCUGACAUAGACGACACUAGAUGGCAAAUAAGAACUUCUGAAAGAAAUAAUGUGUCUAGUGAUCUUCUCAGGCUUCUCCUAGUCCUGGUUGAGGUAGCGGGCAACUCCUUCCAGUACAACUACUUGCAACAAUGGAACAUCUCCCGUGUACCCGCCCUUCUCUAUAUGAUCCUUGUCACCUAAGAAUUGUAGCUAGGGUCCUGAACUCCAACGACAAACCUAACAGGUAUUUUUAUUUGAGCCCCUGUCCACGGUGCGGAAAAAAUUGAGAAGAAAAGGCAAGAGGUAAAACUGGAGAAGAAUCAAGGCAGAAACUAAAGUAGAGGAUCACUUUCAAAUUGUCUACUCUUUAGAUGCCUGUUUGUGCAAACAAAUUAGCAAUUCUAUAAUUCUAAAUGCCCAAUUUUUCACCUCUAGAAUCUUGAUUUUAUAGUAACUUCAAACAGUAGAUGAACACUAGCAAUCCAUGCAAACUUCAAGUACUUCAUAAAAGGUUCAACAGCAAUGCAGAAAACCCAUCAACAAAAAACCUGAACUCCGCAGAUGUAGUAAUCAUCACUAUAAAAUCCUCUAAUCACGUCAAUUUCAACGUGGGGUUUUUAGGAUAAAACCUCAUUCUCAGGUUGAACAAAACUGUCUGGUCUAAACAGACACAAGAACCACGCCAGGUAAGCUCCCUAGUCAUGACCCACAACGAAAACCUUCUCCUGCAGGGUACCACAGAGUCCAAGAGUCCGAUGAGAUUACCGACGAUUGGAAUACGGUGUAGCUCCGCGGAACAGCUUGUGCAUCAGCGUCUCUGAAGCCUCUCAAAUUCCAGCGCCACAGCUCUGUGGCCCAGAGUAGGCGUAGACAGGAGUACCAGAGCUCAGGGAAUCCGUGAAUGAAGAGAAUAAUGAGCCGUUCACUGGAUUUAUGCUAUGGACAUUGAUAUAUCUGUGUUCCAUAGCUUCCAUUAUAUCUAUUUUAGCUUAGCUUGAUAGAAAGGGUUUUGCUUUCGAUUCGUACAGUGCAAAGAUAAGCUGAAUACUUGCGUUUGAUUCCUGAGAAAUGUCAUGUCAAAAUCAGUAAAGGGAAUGGUCAUUAUGACGAUAGAAAUUGGAAAGUAAUUACCAUCGAAAAGGGGCCUCCAGUCUUCAGUCUUCUUUUCAGCCCCAUAAAGAAAAAGGACCAUCAUGCGAAAACAAACACAACUGUACCACUCAAACAGCUUAUUUAUACCCUAUUGCUUAUUUGCUUGACGGUAGAGCUAUUGUUAUUUUCUUCCGCACUAAAUGGACCUCCACUUCAUAUACCAUAAAUCUCCAAUGACGUACCUAUCCAAAGACUUUUCUUGACCAAAAAUAGACAGUUGCCGACUUCUUCAUUACCUACACGGCAUGUCAGUGCAAGAAAAUGAUCUUUUCUUGCACAGUGCAUCAAACAAACACAGCUUAUGCCCUACCCAUGUUACUGCACAAGACCCAUAUCACAAGCCAACACCUUACACGUUAGGCUUUGCCCUUUCACACUUCAUUUUAUUCACAGGUGGACAGAUUUCUCUAAAGCAUAAAAGCGACAAGCUUUCCAGGAUCUUUUUCUGUCGAAAAAUAUGCAAGAAAAAGAAAAGGGGAUUUUCUUUAAUUAUUGAGUAAAUUAUACCCAAUAAAAUAAUCCCAUUUGAAAGCUAUAUCCUCAUAUUUGAAAAAGCACAAGCAUUUACCGUUGGAAAAGUUCAAAACUCAAGGUUCUGCCUAAGAUCCAUCAAUGGAUUUUCUUUUAUUUUUAUAAUGUGGAAGACAAGCCUCGUGAUAGUUGGAGAAUAAAGAAAGGUGAAAACGAGUGAAAGUGACUUAGUUAAACCACCGAGUUACUGAGUAGUCUAUUAGUUGCAGAAAUCAAUAAUCCAAUCCAACAAUCCUCCAAAAGCAACAAACACCUUUUGCAGUUUGCACUUCGGAAAAUCUGGAAAAGAGUGGGAAAGCCCAAGAAAAUAAUAAUAAUGGAUACCUUUCCCAAAGCAAAACCCACAGCCAUCAUCAUCUAGCAAACAACAACUGUGUAGUUACAAGCUAGUCAGUAAGAUCCUGAAACAGUAACUGCACAAAGCCAAAAAAAAAAAAAUGAAAACUUAAACAUCUCAAUUAAGUGACCAAAUAUACUGGCAAAGCAGAAGUGGACAUCCUCUGCUGCUGCUGCUCCAUGUUAAGCUCCCUCAGACUCAAAUAGGGUAUCUCCAAAUCACCCUUUCUUGCUGCCGUCAGAUUACCGGCGAGCGUACCAGGUGAUGGGCGGUUAACGGUCCUGUAUGGAGUACUUGAACCACUUCUGCUUUCAGUUAUGUACACAGGACCAGAUACUGAUGCCCUGAAUGCUCGAGCUCUAGCUUCAUGGACAUCUUCUUCAUCUGCAAGAUCAUUAUUAUGGUGACUGUGGAUCCACCUCCAUUUGAAAAAUAAGAAGGCUUUUCUCCACCAGUGCUUCUUCUUGGUGUUGUGGGUCUUUCUGCUAGAAUCAUCUUUGGUGAUGGGUUUCUGGAGCUUGAAAUGCAAAGAGUCUAUAGUUGUCUCACGCUGGUGGUUCCUUGCUUCCUCCAAGAACUUUUUACAACACAAAGACAAGUUAAUGGGUAAGUCUGAAAAAGAAGACGAGAUCAUAUAUCACAGAAGACAGAGUAAUUAAAGAGUGAGACCUGAAAGUAGUCGAUUUGUGGGUCAAAGCCAUAGUCGCUGAAGUGAUGGGACUCUGGCAUUGGGAAUACGGGAGACUUACUCGCCAUGUCUGUGUAUUUAAAGCUGUGGUUUUGUUGGAUUCAAUUUACAGAUGAGGAGUGAAUAUAUAGAGAUGUAAAGAGGCAUGUGGGCAAUCUAGGCUGGUGGGGGGGGGGCUCAAGGUGGUGAUGGCAACUAGGAAUGGCCACUUGAGAAUGGCGAAGGGAUCUUUUAGUUUAAAAUUCCAAUGGAAAAUACGUACGAUCUCUUUAUUUAACACAGUAGUAUUAUUUAGCUGACACUCACCUGACGAUAGGGGAUUAUUUUAAAAGUUCAUACAGUUACAUUUUUUUUUUUUUUUCUAAAAACACCCUCUCUUCUAUAAAAAUAGACUAUAUAUAAAUAUAUAAUAGAAGUAAAACUUAUGAUCAGAUUAAAAAAAUAUUUAAUUUUUAUAUAAUCAGCUCUAAUUAAAAUUAAAAUUAAAAUUUUUUAAUUUUAAAAGCGAUUUAAUAUCAAUAUACCAAUGCAUUAAACUCUUUGAAAAAAAUUUUGAUUAGCAAUUCUAUUCACAGGGGGUUUAAUUAACCUUGAUUUGUUACUGUUUAUUUUUUCGAUUUUCGGUAUGACUAAUUUGGUUCAUCCAACUUUAACAAUUUCAUUGAUUAAACUUUUUAUUAUUUUUUAAAUAAUGAGACAUAUCUUUUUAAUAAAAAAAUUCGAUCAAUAUUGGUGUAACGAUCAUGAAUGCAUAGAUGGUACACCAUUAAUAAUCAUUACUGUUCUGUCCCAGGACAUCAUCUUAAUUGAUGUUUGCAAAAUUUUUAAUUAUUAAUCACUUUACGGCAAAACCUCCCGAAAGACCAACAACAACAAACUGAAACAAAAUCAACAGUGAGAAGAUCGAUGGACUAGCAAGCCUUAAUCUUAACAGUGUUAUUUGACUAUUAUAAAAUAAAGGGCGUGUUCUGUAAUGAAGCAUUAAACGAAGACUAGAAAAUCUUAACAAAAAAUAGAAAAUAAAAUAAAAUACCAUGAAAUGGAAUAAAGGACAUUUUAGACAAUUCACAAAAAUCGCGAGUCAACCCUGGCGACUAGCGUCUGCUUUUAGAAUUU